RNAcentral lists this long non-coding RNA (64371 nucleotides) under Vigna radiata. RNAcentral describes it as "long non-coding RNA (VRAD_LNC018197)". The record is from RNAcentral. Lineage: Eukaryota; Viridiplantae; Streptophyta; Magnoliopsida; Fabales; Fabaceae.
UUCUUUCCAAGGCCUCCCCUAUGACCGCCGUCCAAGCCGCCUCUUUCACAAAGCUUGCCGCCACCAACACCCUCUCUACACGGUUGCCGGAGUUCUGCUCCGCCGCGCACCUUCUCUGCUUCCCGGAGGUACGUCCAAGCCUGGAGAAACACACCAAAGACGAGAAUUUUCAAACCUACAACGACGGCCAGAACUUCACCAACUACGGAACGGGUAUUGUAAACGGAAUCGACACCUUUAAAAACUACUCCAACGACAUCUUCAGCAUUCCGGUCAACGCUUUCCGUGGAUACAGCCGCUCAUCCAUUGACCACAGAGAAAGCUUCACCGGCUAUGCCAACGACGCCAACGUCGCCGACCAGAGCUUCAACACGUACGGCUCCAACAGCGGUGGGGAAGGCUCCGGCGAGUUCAAAAAUUACUCCAGCAAUUCGAACGUCGCUGAACUGCGAUUCACCACCUACUCUGACGACACCGUCAAUAGGAAACAGUCGUUCUCCAGCUACAAUGAGGACGGAAACGCAGGCGACCAGACAUUCCGGAGCUAUGGGAAGAACUCCUUUGGCGACAAAAACGACUUCACAGGCUAUGGAACAGACUCCAACGUCGCCUCCUCUAGCUUCACCAACUACGGCAAGAAAGGCACAGCUGGCAAUAGUACGUUCACCAACUAUGGCGUUAACAUGAACGAUCCCCAAGAGAAAUUCCAAAGCUAUGGCGAUGGAACCGUUGGUGCGACGCACAGCUUUGCCAACUAUAGGGACCAAGCUAACGUAGGAGACGAUUCGUUCCAAUCCUACGAGAAGAACACGUUUGGGUCCACAGUGAAUUUCAAAAACUACGGCAACUCCGCCAACCCUGGUUCCGACACUUUCAAAGGUUACGCUAAAGGAGCAGAGCGUAACACGGUUGGCUUCACCGGCUACAGCGUUAACACUAACGCAACGUUUAAGGAUUACGCCAAAGAGGGUGUUUCCUUCGCUUCUUACAACACCUCUUCCUCUUCUUCAACUGUUGGUGGCAGUUUGGUAAAAAGGUGGGUUGAACCAGGUAAGUUUUUUCGCGAGAGCAUGCUGAAGGAAGGAACCGUGAUGGCCAUGCCAGACAUAAGAGAUAAAAUGCCCCAAAGAUCAUUUCUGCCCCGCUCUAUUCUGGUGAAAUUACCCUUCUCUUCUUCAAAGAUUGAGGAGCUGAAGAGCGUGUUCAAGGUGUCUGAUAACUCCUCCAUGGAGAAGAUGAUGAUGGACUCUUUGGGUGAGUGCGAGAGAGCACCCAGUGUCGGAGAGAUCAAACGUUGUGUGGGGUCUGUCGAGGACAUGAUUGAUUUUGCAACCUCUGUAUUGGGUCGUAAUGUCGGGGUUUGGACAACUCAGAACGUAAACGGGUUCGGUAAGAAUGUAAUGGUGGGUCGGGUCAAAGGGAUGAACGGUGGCAAGGUAACCAAAUCCGUGUCCUGUCACCAGAGCUGGUUCCCUUAUCUGCUUUACUACUGUCACUCGGUACCUAAGGUUCGGGUGUACGAAGCGGAUCUCUUGGAUCCGGAAUCCAAGGCGAAGAUUAACCACGGUGUUGCUAUAUGUCACUUGGACACCACUGCAUGGAGCCCGACCCACGGCGCAUUCGUAGCUCUUGGAUUGGGUCCGGGUCGGAUUGAAGUAUGCCAUUGGAUCUUCGAGAAUGACAUGACUUGGACAAUUGCAGAUUGAUUGAGGAAAGAAGAGAUGGUGAUUAGAAUCGGUUUCCGCCAGCUGCUAAUAAAAAUGAAAGCUGUCUCCACCACAUCUUAAUGUGUUUUUUCUUUUUUGGUUUGUUAUUUAAAAAUAACUAAAUGGUUUCUAGAAGAAUCCACCUGUUUAGGUAACCUGUCUAUUAAUUUAAAUGUUUGCAACUGUAUUUGUGAUUAUAUGUUGUAUCAUAUGGCUUCCUUUCUCUUAUGAUUUAAAUGUCUGGAAACUUUAUUUAGCUCACACUACAAAACUGUAAAGUCAUUUCAAUAAAUGAAGUCCAUAAAUAAUUAUACAGUGAAAUCAAUAUGUAAUUUAGAUAAAUGUUUACCUCAAUGUAAUAUUUAAACACUAACCAUUGCCUAUUCUGAAGCAGAUAAUAACUGAUAAUAAAGUUUAAGAACAAUAUUUCAUCACCUUUCAAGAUUCUAAUAAAUUCAAAAACUUCAAUUGAGUCUUUAAUAUGAUACAUCGAGUAUUAAAUAAUUUUAUAUUUUUUAAUUGAAUGGGGAAGUUGUUACAUUUUUUUGUUAAUAUGUGUUAAUAAGUAGUUUAUGUGGUUAUUGAUAUCUUACUAAGUUGUUAUUAAUUAUGUGUUAUUUUAUAAAGUUAUAAAAUUAUAAAAUCAUAAAAAUAUAAAAUUAUAAAAUUAUAAAACAUAAAAUUAUAAAAUAGUGAAAAUAUAAAAUUAUAAAAUCAUAAUAAAACUAUAAAAUAAUAAAAUUAUAAAAUAAUCAUAAAAUAUUUUAAUGUACUACAAAAAAUAAUCAUUAAAUAACGUAACAUUCCAAUCUAACGUAUUUACACUAUUAAUUAGAUCAUUAUAAUUUAGGUAUUAAACAAUAAACUAUCAUGUAAUAUAUAUUUCAUAAUCCUCCUUAAAAUUUAGAAAAAUUAUCAAAUUAUACAAAAAAAAUUAAGAGAUUAAAGAAUUAUAUAAUACAAAAAUUAUAUACCAACACAACAACUAUAUUUUAAUUGUUUAUUAGUGGUUUCACUACUUCUCAACUUUUUUAUCUACACCCUCUUCUAUUCACAUAUAACAUAUAAGUGGAUAGACCACAAACAAAUACAUAAAAUAGAAAAAGAUUGUGUAAAUUUAAAUCAUACUAUUAACUUUAAAUGACGAUUAUAGAACAUGCAUACAUCUUUUAACAAAUCACACAUCAUAUCUAAAUGAACAUUAAUUGAAUAACAAAGAUAAUAUAUAUAGUCGUCAUGACACAUGUAUAUAUAAAAAUUCAUUUGGCACAACUUCUAGAGGACAAAUGUAUUAAUUAGCACCCUAAGUUCAUGCACUUGUCAUUGCUUCAUCAUGGCUGCCUCUCACAAGCUAUAGGUAUAACAUGUUCGAGCUUCUCCUGAUCCAUUAAUCAUGGAGGGUAAAUUUUAUAUUUCACGAGUUUGAUUCUAGAUAUAUGAUUAUCCAUCAACUCUCACAACUAGUUAUCUUCGUCUACAUGAUUCUAAUUACUACUAAAGUCAAUAUAGUUUCGUUUUAAUCCCACAAAAAAUUAACUCAUUGUAGUAUUUUUCACCCUAGGAAUAACUUUCUCAUCAUUUUAUUCAUAUUUAUCUUAAUUCACAAUAAAUAUUACUAAAUUGGUAAAACGAUUACAAAAUAAUAGUCAAAGAACCACUGUCACACAUAGCUCAUUAAUCACAUUCUCGUAUCGCCUUAAAUCAUUCCACCAUGUCAUACAUAUGUAUUUUACCUUGAUCCAAACCCAUUUCGUAGCAACAAAAACCUAUUAUUUAUUUCAAUUUACAUAUUAAAAAUUCUUCAUUUGUUUUCUAUUACAUUAGUAUAAUAUUCAAUUAUAAUAUUUCCAUUAAGUACAUCAAAACAAAAAAAAAACAGGAUCUCAACGUGAAUGCGAGCCAACCAGGACGAACAGUCGGUUUAACGAAUAAUGACCGAGAAGUUUUUAUAAAGCCGCUACCCAUUAUACUCUAUGCUUCGCCACUACUCCGAGGACCAGACGUAGCGGACGGUCAUGUCGGCACACGACAACCGUGACGGUAAGGGUUUUCACGAAGAUCUGCAUGACUAUCACAAGCCGGUUUCGUCCAGAAAAUCGACCGUCCGGAGCGGACGGAACGGACAGGCAGAAAACUAUAAUUAAUGUCGCAUUAGGGAAUAAACACAAUUAGGGAUGAUGGGCCUCGGAUUGGGCCGCAAUUAAGAAUCAACUAAUCAUAGGCUCAUGACAGACACUAUAAAUACCAGUCAAUAGGUGAAAGAUGGUUGGUUACAUUGAAUGCUCAUUUAUUGUUAUUAGACACUUUCUCUUUCUAUCUCUACCCUUUAACCACCUACUGACUUGAGCGUCGGAGUGCCUUUAGCAGGUACCCGGCCGGUUUGGACAGGAACAAGGUAUGUUGGUACAGUUACGCAAGGAGCGGAAAAGCGACCGGACGUCGGGAGCAAAUUGUGGAGGAAGAAGUGGACUAGAGUUUACCCGGAACAUUUUGGCGCCCACCGUGGGGCUGGAGGAUUAUUACCAAUGGUGACCACAAGAAGUGCUAGCGAAGACCUGAACGGUGUUAUACGGGCGUUGGAGCUAAGGAUGGAGGAGAUGCAAAGGAGGCACGAAGAAAUGCAGAAGAGGCACGAAGAGGAAAUGGCGGUUGUGCGGGCCGAGUGCUUGGCACAACUUAAGGGUAUGGCCGUGGAAGACGACCCAGGGACCGGGGGGGACCAAAGAGAACCCUCCCAUUAGGCGAAGAGAAAGAGGCACAUAGUAGCGCCUAGAAUAAGGAGGAGAAGAAGCAGGAGGGCCGGGAUGAAAGGGGGGACAACGUGGUAUUAGUGAAAAAUGAAACACCAUCGGUGCCUGUACCCUUCGCACAGGCUAUUAUGGAGGUGCACAUAUUGGAACAGUUCGUUCCUCCGCAGUUCAAGACAUAUGACAGAAUAACUGAUCCCGAGGCUCAUAUCAAAUCUUUUACCAACGCUAUGGCGUUUCGCACGGGAUGUGAUGUUAUUUGGUGUAGGGCGUUCUCGUUGUCAUUGGAGGGAGAAGCUCUAGAAUGGUUUGACGUGCUCCCGAACAGAUCUAUAGAAAACUUCAAAAGCUUAAGCAACACGUUCAAGAACCAAUUUGCAGCAUGUCAGGUGCAGGAUGCCUCUGUUGUUGACUUAAUGAAUUUGAAACAAGGAAAAGAGGAAUCUCUUAAGACCUUCAUGGAUCGGUUUCAAAAAAUUGUUCGACGCGCCAAAGGGCUCAACACGGAGUUGGCUUUGCAGUAUAUAAUGCCCGGGUUGAGACCGAGCCCUUUCAAAGACAGUGUAUGUAGGACACCCCCGAAAACCAUGGAAGAGUUGCGAUAAAGAGCGGUGGAUGAAAUCAGAGUGGAGGACAUGAAACAAAAUUACCAAAGGGAAAUCCAGGAGGCAAAAGAGGAGAAACAAGAUGUCAAGAGAGACGACCAAGGCAACUAGUCUGGCAUUAAUAAAACCAGAGAAGGACCUCAUAAUCCAUGCUUCCAACAAUAUACAAAGUUGAACGCCCCCCAGACUCGAAUAUUGCAGGAGGCGCUCAGUGCGCAGUUGAAGCAAACCCCUCAAAAACGUCCUACCCCCCCAGGAGCGGACAAUAGCAAACAUUGCUUGUAUCAUCAAAAUAUGGGCCACAAUACGGAAGAUUGCGUAACACUCAAGGACAAAAUAGAAGAGAUGAUUCGGGUCGGGCAAUUGCUGAAGUACGUGAAGGGUUAUCGUCCGGAAAGAUCUCCGGACAGACGAGAAAGGAAAGAUUACAAACGGCGUAGUCCUCCUCGGUUCGAGGAGCGGAGAGACCGACAACAAGACGGUCAUAACGAUCGAAACCCAGGCGUAGGAAGAAACAAUCCUACUAGGCAGUCCAGAAGCAGAAGCCGAGAAAGGGGACAGAGUCGCCCGUUGAGGGGAAUGAUUAACACGAUCUCCAGUGGAUUCGCGGGCGGCGGACAAUCGUCAUCAGCUAGAAAAAGAAGUAUUCGAACGCUGCGUUCGAUACACGCCGUGGAUGUCCCGAAGAGGACAAUGCUACCCAUCAUCUUUUCAAAUGAAGAUUUCCAUGCCCCCAACCUGGAGCAGGACGACCCUAUGGUAAUUACCGUUGAAAUAACGCAUUACGGGGUAAGCAAGGUGUUAGUCGAUCAGGGAAGCUCGAUCAACAUUCUCUAUUGGAAAACUUUCCAACAGAUGGAUAUCUCAGAUGACUUGAUCGUACCGUUCGGGGAGCAGUUGGUGGGGUUCGCUAGGGAACGGGUUGACACUCGAGGUUACCUGGACUAGUGGAUGUGAUUGGGAACCGGCCGGGAGAGUGAGGAAAAGAAGAUUAGGUUUUUACUUGUGGAGGCGAACACGUCGUACAACACUCUCAUUGGACGACCGUUCUUGAAUCUGUUUGGAGCCAUAGUGUCUAUGCCACAUUUGACACUUAAAUAUCCCACUUCCCGCAAGACGAUUUGUACGGUACGGGCAGAUCAGAAGACUGCCAGGGAAUGUUAUGCAUCCGGGUUGAAGAUGUUUCCCCGAGAAGUGAGAAAAAGAGUUGAAAGGUUCGAGGUGGACAGUGCUUCCAGGCACCGGGUGUUAAGUUUCUUAGACGCCUAUUCUGGGUAUAACCAGAUACCUAUGUAUGGGCCGGACGUAGUAAAAACUGCGUUCAUUGCAGACAGGGCUAACAUUUGCUACGAAGUUAUGCCCUUCGGUCUAAAGAAUGUCGGGGCCAUGUACCAGAGGUUGAUGGAUCGAGUUUUCGCCAAUCACAUCGGCAGAUGCAUGGACGUGUACGUUGACGAUAUGGUGGUCCGAUCGGCGGACGGAAAGAGCCACCUAACCGACUUUGAAGAAGUGUUUAAUCAGGGCCGCAGGUACGAUAUGCGCUUGAACCCUAUCAAGUGCACCUUCGGAGUAGCAGCUGAAAAGUUCCUUGGUUUCAUUUAACAUCUCGGGGGAUUGAGGCCAAUCCUAACAAGUGUGAGGCUAUUCUACAAAUGCAGAGUCCUCGGACCCUGAAGGAGGUUCAGAGGUUGGUAGGACAGCUUACGGCUUUGUCUAGGUUUAUACCUAAGCUGCCAGAAAGAAUACGUCCGAUACUCCGAAAAAUGAAAAAAGAAACUUCCGACAAGUGGGAUGACGACUGUGAAAGGGCAUUCGCGGACGUUAAAAACGUCCUUAUGAACCCCCCCGUGAUGAGCCGACCGAUUCAAGGCGAGGAACUCCAGAUAUACCUAGGUGUCUCGGACUCGGCGGUAAGCGAUGUUCUCUCUCAAGAGAAACCAACUCCCAAACUAAAUUAUUUUGUAAGCAAAACCCUUCAGGACAUCGAACAGCGGUAUCAGCAGGUGGAGAAGGUGGCCCUGGCACUUCUCACGGCCGCUAGGAGACUAAGGCCAUAUUUCCAGAGUCACCAGGUCGUUGUACGAACGGAUCACCCGGUGUCAAAAAUAUUAAGGAAACCUGAUCUUGUCGGACGAAUGGUCGGGUGGGCGGUGGAGCUCUCUAAAUUUGGGAUCCGAUAUGAACCAAGAGGAUCGGUGAAAGGCCAGCGUCUGGCCGAUUUUGCGGCCGAAUUACCACCAGUAAAAGGGGAAGACUGGAACCUGUACGUAGAUGGCGCUUCCGGCCGUAAUGUCAGUGGAGCCAGAGUUGUCCUAGAAGGACCGAACGGGUUUUUAAUAGAACAUUCCCUCGUAUUCAUGUUCAAGAUAUCUAAUAAUCAGGCGGAGUACGAAGCCUUGAUAGCCGGAUUAGAACUUGCCAAGGACGUGGGAGCCCGAGGCUCACUUGACGGACGGACUCGCAGCUGGUGGUCGGACAAAUAAAUGGAGAGUUUCAGGUGAAGGAAGAGCACCUCAUAAGAUACUAUCACAAAGCUUCGACAUUGAUUCAAAGCUUUGAGAAAGUCAGCAUACAACACAUACCCCGUGAACUGAACGCUCGAGCCGAUAUGCUUUCCAAGCUUAGCUCGGGAAAAGAGAAAGGACAACUUACUACUGUCAUUCGACAAGUCCUGCUGCAGCCGUCAGUCGAAUGCCAGGGAAUCACAACGGACGAUACUGAAGAUUGGCGAAGGGAGAUCAUGGAGCAUAUGAAGAAACAGGACAAUGGAGAUAAUCUCCAUGUAAAGGAAGCUAAGAAGAUCGUCUGCUACCUUCUUGUAGGGAAUGAUUUGUACCGUAGGGGAUUUUCCUCCCCCUGUUGACAAAUUGGCAAGUGUACCAAAUCGUACAAGNAAUAUAAAUGGUAAGACCAAGUACCGUUUUCCCAAAAGACUCGAAUGGCUUUCUCGUUCGCGUGAAUUAAAAUAAUAAGACUUGAAAAUAAAAAUUAAUAAAUUGGAUUUGAGAACAAAAAUAUUAACAUGCAAAAUAAAGUUGAUUCAAUUGACAAAAGAAAACAAUGGAUGAAUGGAUGUUGUUGGGGGUUCACAAUUUCAUCUAAUCCGCUCUCCCUUACCUACUCCUCUUGAAUAUUAGUUUGAUUAAUUAAUUGUUAUGCGACUUUCUUAGCCUCCCCUUAACCCGAUCCCUCGGCGAAAAGGGCCUAAUAUUAACUACUGGCUUGUUAUCCCUAGCCUCCCCUAGUAAUUAAUACCGCAUUAUAAACAGAAGUUAACCCAAUUGAUCGUCCUACCCCUAUCCCUAGGUGGUAUUGCAAAAUCAAGAGAUUACUCACCAGUUCAUGUCAUUACUGUACGUCCCCAUGUCAAUAAAGACAAACAUCAGUUACCGAAUGAGUUAAACGAUAAAGAGUUUCAAUAAAAGAGAGUAUCAAAAGAUUACAUUGUUUCCCCCAACAACAAUAGGGUUUAGUUCACCAUAGACAUGGUGAAACUAGAUGAAAAAUGGAAGAGCAAACCCUAGAAAAGAUGAAAAGGAGCCUAAGCAUCCAAGAGAUCCUAUCCAGAGAGCAAAAUUAGGUUUGGCCGUUCUCCCCUGUCAAAAGAAUGACUCUGAACUUGCAAUAGGAGUAUUUAUAGGUGAGGAGCGCAUCAGAAAAUAGGCCCAGGCCCAGCGAGCUACCGCCCGGCAGUUUAAGUGUGCCGCCCGGCAGUUUGCCAUAAUCCUCCAAACUGCCCGGCGGCAAUCGCUACCGCCCGGCGGUUUCCCUCAAAACCACCCAGCGUCAAUCGCCAUGCCUACUCCUCGUCCUGGACCGCCCGGCGGUUUAAGUGUACCGCCGGGCGGUGCGUCGACUCUUCAAAUCUUCAUUUUUCUACUCUUUUCUUGAGUCUACGACCUGUAUCUUCAACUCCAUUCUUCAUUUUCUCAAAAUAGCUACAAAAAAAUGCAAAACAAGCAUAAUAUCGCUAAAAACAGCUUUUGUCUCUCUACAGACUCAUUUAUUGAGUUUUGCUUGAUUCUAGGCUCAUUCCAAGUAGUAAAGGGCGUAAUUCGGUCCAAAUUGACAUAUGAAAAUAACUGUUUUUCAACCUUUAUCAACAACCCCAAACUUAGAAUUUUGCUUGUCCUCAAGCAAAACAAAACAAAACACACAAAAAAAAACUUGGCUUUAUACUUUUUCAUCCAAUGCCUCAACAAUCCCAAGGUACAUGACAAAACUACUCAAUUCAAUAUUCUCAGUGAAGUCCAAAGUAAGAUGCAUGCAUGCUUUCAAUCCAGAGAUUGCACAACAGAUGUUAUACAUUAUGAAUGACCAAUCCACUAAGCAAAAAUGUACUCAUGAAAAUCAACAGUUCAUACCAAGCAAGUGUUUCACUCGAUCACUCAAGUGUUUAAGGUGACACUCCACUCUCUGUUGUUCACAAGUCACAUGAAACAAGAUUGCCAUUUAUCUCAAACAACCAACACCUUUACAUGCAAAUGCGAUCAAAAGGACUUUUCCAAGGCUUGUAAUGAGGUCGGGCUAACAAGAAAACUUGGUUUUUCUAGAAUGCAAAAUCCUUGAGUCAAGAGAGCUAACAAAAUAUUCAACAUUUAAGCACAACUCUCUCACCAAUGUCUCUCAUUCCCAACUUCUUCCCUUUUCUUUUCUUUUUCAUUGAGCUCAUCUUCAUGCUUUUCUUCUUUUCUUUUCUUUUUCUCAUGAAUUUUUCUCUUUUCACAACAAUUGAGCUCAAUGCCUUUCACUUGCUUUUUCAAUAUUUCCCUAUACAACCCCAAACUUGAACCUUUUCAUCACAUACAAUUAAGCUCAUCCCAACUCAAGGUAAAGAAUUUCAAAACAAGGGUUCACAUACUGUUUAAGGCUAGGGUUCAAAAAGGGUAUAAUAUUUCAAGCACUUUGGGUGAAAAUUUGGCUACGAAGGGUUUUCAAAAAUGGCCUUUAUCAUAUGACAUUCACAUGCAAUUCAAUCGAUCAUCAAGAUUAAGGCAAUAUCAUCCAUAUUUUCCUGUGAACAAUGCAUAUAACAAUAAAAACUCUGGAGCUCAACAUCUCACACACAUGCUUUCUCACACAAAAUUCAUUCAUGCACCCUGCCUAGCAUCAUGACCACAAUCAUAAAUUCAUCACACAUCUAUUUCCUGGAUAUCAACAUGUAUUGCAACUCAAUUCUCAUCCAUAUCAAAUAAUCAUCAAAUAGAUCCAUCAUACACAUCAGUUAGUCAAACAUUUUCAGAACAAGUGUUAAAGCCAAGAGUACACACCAAGAUUAAAAUUCAACCUAUUCUAGGAAUUUAAAAUGCGAGAGUGUAAGAAGAAAUUCUAGGUUGCCUCCUAGUAGCGCUUGUUUAACGUCACGAGCCUGACCCAAACCUAGUUGGCACUUGUCAAUAAGUGCACUUCCUUCCACCACCCAUCAGUAGGUGUACCUUCCGGAUAUCCUUCAGUGGAUACCAAAAAUUUAGCAUCCCUCAUUAGAUGCUACCUAAAAAUUGUUCAGAAAAUUCAAAAAGUACAAGUUUUUUUUUUUUAAAAAAAAUAAACCUAGACUAAAAAUGAAAAAUAAAAUAAAAUAAAAAAAUGUUUUACAACAAUUGGGAUGACCCCAACAAACACCCUUCAGUAGGUGUUGAAAUUCUUCUCGCUUGAUAUUCUUUUCUUUUUCUUCUUCCUACUGAAUUCCUUCAUAAAGUUAAGAACACCAAGCACAUGUUUCCAUGUUUCAACCAUAUGAACCUUAAUCUCCAAUUUCUUGAUAAUCUCCAUAAAGCACUUGAACCUAUUUUCCCUCCUAUGAUUUUUCUUCUGAUGAGGAAAGGGUUUUGCAUAUGAUCUUUUCUUCCUUCCUCUCCUCCUCUUUUUCUCAAUCUCCCCCCUCAACUUUCUCUUUUUCUUUCUUUUUAUUUUCUUCUUUAUUUUUGGACAUUUUUUAUUUUUCUUUUUUCUUUCGACCACUUGAGUGAUAAAGCUCCCUGGAUCUUGUAAUUUAGGAGGUAAUGUUCUUUGUACGACUGCACUGCAAUUUCCUUGCACCUCAAUAGUUUCCUUCUCAAUAUACUUCCUCUCUUUCAUGAGAAGUUCUUUCAAAAAUUUCGCAUCUGAUGGUAUUUGCUUAAGUGCCUCAGAGAAUUGUAUGGUUAUUUCCAAUUUCUUGUGAAUCUCCAUAAAACGCUCCAACUACUUUUCUUUUUCCCUCCUAGAAUAUGUCUUUGGAUAGGGCAAGGGUUUUUCAUACUCCCUCUCUUUCAAUUGUACAACCUCUUCUUCUAUCUUUUCUUCAUCUAUCUUAUCCCUAACAACAGCCUUUUUUGUUUCUAUCUCUUCUAUCUUUUUCACUUCUCUCUCCACCUUCUCCUUAUCAACAACCUCAUCAAUUUGUGUCUCCAAAUUCCUGAAGGCAACUUCAUAGCUAUUGGGAUCACACCUCUCCAGAAAUUUGUCGAAUUUUUCAUUCAAGCUUUUGACUUGUUCCGUCACGUCAGCUAUUUGUUGACAAAGUUGUUGAUCAUACUCCCANGUUUCAAUUGGUGAAGAGCAUUGUUGCUGCCACUGAUAAUGUUGCCUCUCCUCCAUGCUUUUGACAUGGUAUGGUUCAAAAUUCAUAAUCCUCUGAAAAAUUUCCUCAGAUUCUGCACUUCUUUGUUUAGGCGUAAAAUGAGGCUCACCAACUUGUCCAUAUCUACUUUGAUCCAUGUAUGAGUGAGGUUCCCCUAGUGAUUGAAAUUAUUUUGGUAGGAUUGAGUGUCCAUAUAAUCAAAUCCUUGUCCGUUCUGCAUUCUGCAAACAUUAAGCACAAAACCCUACUUAGAACAAAAAUGAGAAUAAAGAUAAAAUCAAGCCAAAUUCAAUUAAUUCACACUACUUGAAAAAUAACCUCGAGUCCCCGGCAACGGCGCCAAAAACUUGUUAACAAAUUGGCAAGUGUACCAAAUCGUACAAGUAAUAUAAAUGGUAAGACCAAGUAUCGUUUUCCCAAGAGACUCGAAUGACUUUCUCGUUCGCGUGAAUUAAAAUAAUAAGACUUGAAAAUAAAAAUUAAUAAAUUGGAUUUGAGAACAAAAAUAUUAACAUGCAAAAUAAAGUUGAUUCAAUUGACAAANGAAAACAAUGGAUGAAUGGAUGUUGUUGGGGGUUNACAAUUUCAUCUAAUCCGCUCUCCCUUACCUACUCCUCUUNAAUAUUAGUUUGAUUAAUUAAUUCUUAUGCAACUUUCUUAGCCUCCCCUUAACCCGAUCCUUCGGCGAAAAGGGCCUAAUAUUAACUACUGGCUUGCUAUCCCUACCUUCCCCUAGUAAUUAAUACCGCAUUAUAAACAGAAGUUAGUGCAAUUGAUCGUCCUACCACUAUCCCUAGGUGGUAUUGCAAAAUCAAGAGAUUACUCACCAGUUCAUGUCAUUACUGUACGUCCCCAUAUCAAUAAAGACAAACAUCAGUUACCGAAUGAGUUAAACGAUAAAGGCCUUAAGCACAGAUGAUAAACCAAUAAUUAUCAAUCAAAACAUAUGGAGACCAUAUAAAUAAUCAAGAGUUUCAAUAAAAGAGAGUAUCAAAAGAUUACAUUGCUUCCCCCAACAACAAUAGGGUUUAGUUCACCAUAGACAUGGUGAAACUAGAUGAAAAAUGGAAGAAGAAUGGAAGAGAAAACCCUAGAAAAGAUGAAAAAGAGCCUAAGCAUCCAAGAGAUCCUCUCCAGAGAGAAAAAUUAGGUCUGGCCGUUCUCCCCUGUCAAAAGAAUGACUCUGAACUCGCAAUAGGGGUAUUUAUAGGUGAGGAGCGCAUCAAAAAACAGGCCCAGGCCCAGCGAGCCACCGCCCGGCGGUUUGCCAUAAUCCUCCAGAACCGCCCAACGUCAAUCGCCAUGCCUACUCCUCGUCCUGGACCGCCCGACGGUUUAAGUGUGCCGCCGGGCGGUGCGUCGACUCUUCAAAUCUUCAUUUUUCUGAUCUUUUCUUGAGUCUACGACCUGUAUCUUCAACUCCAUUAUUCAUUUUCUGAAAAUAGCUACAAAAUAAUGCAAAACAAGCAUAAUAUCGCUAAAAAUAGAUUUUGUCUCUCUACAGACUCAUUUAUUGAGUUUUGCUUGAUUCUAGGCUCAUUCCAAGUAGUAAAGGGCAUAAUUCGGUCCAAAUUGACAUAUGAAAAUAAUUGUUUUUCAACCUUUAUCACCCCCUACUUAAGUGUUUGAGCAAGACAGAAGCACAAUACGUGAUGGAUGAGCUGCAUAACGGCAUAUGUGGUUUCCACACCGGCGGACGCAUGCUUAAGGCCCGAAUCCUUCGCGCCGGUUAUUAUUGGCCGACAAUGGAACAUGGCUCUGCCGCAUUUGUAAAGUGAUGCCUCGGCUGCCAAGCCCACGCGAACGACCACCACUCUCCACCCCAAAACUUACACUCCAUCGUGGCUCCAUAGUCGUUCGCUCAGUGGGGGAUGGAUAUCGUCGGACCAUUCCCACCCGGACCGGCCCAAAAGAAGUUCCUUCUCGUAGCCGUGGACUACUUCACCAAAUGGGUAGAGGUCGAACCCUUAACCACCAUCACGGCAUUUCAAGUGCAGACAUUUUGCUGGAAAAUAAUUUGUAGGUUUGGACUCCCAAAAACAAUCGUCACCGAUAACGGUCGUCAGUUUAUCGAACGGAAACUGGAGAGGUUCUUUGAGGAAAUGGGAAUUAUACAUGCAACUAGCUCGGUAGAACACCCCCAAACCAAUGGACAGGCGGAGGCCAUGAACAAAGCCAUCGUUUCCGAGCUAAAGAGAAGAUUGGGCGAAAAGAAGGGGGCUUGGGUGGAUGAAUUACUCGAAGUCUUAUGGGCUUAUAGGUGCACCCCCACGGUACAACGGGAGAAACCCCCUUUAACUUAACGUACGGGACCGAUGCUAUGUUACCGGUCGAGCUGGGGGAACCAUCGUUAUGAAGAAACAUGGAUAAUCUUAAUAUGAAUGAUCAAGAGUUAAGGGUGGAACUGGAUACCCUCGAGGAACGGCGAGACCGGGCAGUGUUACGGGCAGAAGCAUGCAGACCAAUGGUGGAGAGAAAAUACAACACUAAGGUCCGGCCGAGAAACUUCCAAGAAGGAGACUUAGUGUGGAGGAAAAUUGGAGAGGCAAGGCGAGCGGCAUCCCACGAAAAACUUGCGGCUAAGUGGGAGGGCCCAUUUAAAGUGGUAGAAGUCCUCGAAAAUGGAGCAUACCGCCUCACUAAACUCAUCGGACAGUACCUGACUAACACGUAGAACGCGUCUCAUUUAAAAUUGUAUUUCAGCUAAUGUCUAUGUAUGAUUGAGCAGAUUGAAUGAUAUACAGACGCUUCUGAUCCAUUUCGAAUACUUUAUCAUUUUCAUCUUUUACAUAGACGAUGACUGGCUAAGGCCGAUCGAUCCAUUAAAACCAAGUUAGUGAAUGGAAAAUCCUAUUAACUUGGUCGGACGAUGACUGGCAAUCGCCGAUCAUUCCGUUCGAAAUCGAUCUUACGACUAGCGAUCGCCGAUCGUCCCACUCCAGACGAACCAAGUUGAUGACUGGCAAAUCGUCGGUCGCCCCAACAAACGAGGGUUGGAUGAAUCAGCCUAUCGAUCUGGCCGGAGAAUAUUUGGCUAUCACUUAACGAUAUUACACUAGUAAAACAUGAAGCGAUAAGAAACUAAGGUAAAGCCAGAAACCAAGAUAAAAAUUUGCAAAUAGAUGACGAACGAAAACCAAAAAGCAAUUAUUCCAUUCAGUAAGGGGGUAUACAAGUAAAAAAUCACAAUAUAAAACGGGAGGCAGGGUAAACAAACCAAGCGAAUGUUUACCCUCCGCCCGGCAAAAUAAUCUAACUACAUUCCAAAAGAGUACCCCAACGUACACCAAAACCCCAUAAAACUAAUCUUGUUUUUAGGCACCCUCCCUCGCAACGUCAUUCGCGCCCUCCGCCACAUCAGCAACCCCCUCCUCAAUGGCAACCUCUAGGGCGGCCGGUAGGCCAACGUACGUUAACACCCCGUCAUACACAUCUUUCUCAAGAUCGAACCCAAGGUCCAGAGGUUUCUCUACCUUGAGGAGUACUUCAGCCUGUCGAAAGGCCUUGUAAAACCCUUCCUCGUGCUCGACCACCAUGCUGGAGUUAAGUUCAACUAUCUUCUCUCGGACAGCCUUCAAAUAUAGGCGGACGACAUCGAGGUCGGUCUGCAGUUUGAUGGUCCCUUCUUGAAGUCUUUUUUCAACCUCCCUCUGAACAAUGGCUGACCCCUUCAGAUGCUUGCACUCCUCGGUCAGCUCAGAGUUCGUAGUGUGCAUGCCCUGCAGCAAAUCGGCCGUCUCUUUCAACUUUGCGGAAGUUUUGGAAAGUUCUUUGCUGGUUUCGGCCGAUCGCUUGCCAUCUUCUUUGCACGCCUUACGCAAGUUCUCUAAUUCCAAUUCGAGGGCCUUUACCUUCUCCUGCUCCUUCAGAAGGGCAGCCUUUACUUCCCCUGAGCCUCGAACGUCCCCGAAUUCUCGGAGAAACCCCACCAUGGAAGCAGUACGACUUGACAUCUCAAAAAUGGCGUCGAGCAAAGCUGGACUAGUUAUGGACUCCACGAUGGAAGGUUGAACCGGACCCAUGUGAAAGUCCACACGCCGGCUCACGCUAUAGUCAGUACUAAAAACUCCACCACCCGGAAGCAGAACGGGCGGGUCGCUACCUUGACGGUUCUUCCUCGACGUCGACUUGUCCCCUUCUUUACGCGACCUACGCCGCUUACGAGACGGGGCGAACGGGCCGGCGGGGGCUGAUUGAGAGGCCGCCUCAGUGAGAGGUUGAGAGCUGGCAACAGGAAUGAUUAUGGGGUUGGAGGAGCCUUCCCCGACUAUGGCUUGGGUGCUCCCCGGUAGACUUGUUUUCUCCUUGACAGGUACACCCUCAGGGACCGGCCCACCCGAAGAAGGAUAGACUGCAGCGACGGUCACUCGACCGGCAGGUGACAGGCGCCUCGGGGGGGGGGGGGGGGGGACACCGCCACUUUUGACGACCGAAGGAGCAGCGGAAGACCCCCUCUUGGCUAUAAGAAAGUUGGAUUGACGGGGAUUCGGGGCGGCCAUGAUAUCUGAAAAAUAAAGCAACAAAUUCAGUUAAGUCCUCACUAUAAUGAUAAAUUGCAAAUCGAACCAAUGCCAUACCAAGUGCCCUUCGGCUACAGUCCUCAAAAGGUAGGCAGUCAACCAAGUUGCGGGCAGGGAGGCGGCGUGGAAGAGUGUCGAUGACGUCAAUCACACAAAGAUCGGCAAUGUCUAAAUCAUACUUAAUAUAAGCCUUCAUCCUUGUCGGGUUCUCCGUCCAGUAGAAAGGAAAAAGAGGAGACCCGGUCUCGUCAAAGAAAUCAUGAUGCCCGGCCUCAGUAAUAACCACUUUAAAAAAUUGGUCUUUAAAACUUUUAUAAGACUUAGAAUAUGGCUUAAAUAGAGUCUGGACUGUCAUUGAAGUUAAAGAAACCCAUCCUCCCUUUGGGGGCAGACGGACGUCGAAGUAGUAUAGAAAAGAGGGAACGGUAGGUGCUACGCCCGCUGCCAGACACAUCACACCGAACGCUUGGACCGCUGCCCAGGCAUUAGGAUGAAGUUAAGUAGGUGCUACGUUUAAGGCGCGCAGCACGCCCAUUUGAAAAUCCGUGAAUGGGAUUCGAAUAUGCAACUGGUCAAAAAAGGUUGCAUACACGGAGAAAAAAUCCGACUCGCUGGAGCCUUUCCCAUGGCACACACGCUCGUUCUCACGACCGACCGCUAGGUUUAUCAACCGGGCGUCGGCUUCGUCUCUUACUAAGUAUGAUCGGUCAACAAAAUCUCCAAGGCCUGUGCGCGAAAGGGUAGAUACUUGGGUAUUUACGUCGAAUCCAGCCCAAUCAUAACCUGUCACCAACGGUAGACCGCCGACUGGAACAAGGGGAACUGGAUCGAUUCUCACCCCACCUUGUAGUAAAAAAAGGGGGACCCCGUAGAAAAUCCGACCCGCAACCGGAGGUGGAAUCGGGGAACCACCAUCGCCUCCACCGGCAUUUGGAGCAACCUUCGUAGCGGGGGGGCCCUCUGGAGAAGAAGCAUCGUCGAAUGCCGAAUCAGUGGAAGAAGAACCCUCGUAACGGCUGCCACCAUCUCCACUGCCACCAUCCACGCCACCACCACCACCGCGACCCGAAGACUCCAAAGAAGACUCAAUAGGAACAUAUUCCAUUUUUAUUACCUGAGGGAAAACAAAAUGGAAGCAGGAAGAGAUUGAAGAUGAUGAUCAACACUCCCAAACACCCCUAUUUAUAGAAAAUUUUUGAAAAGACAGAACACAUCCUCGCCAUCAAAAAAUGCCAUGACCAACGGCUUAGAUCGAGCGACGCUGCGGUUACCCAACACAAACAGCCUCAGAAAAAAUGCCACGUGUUCUUUCCUGCCCAAAACGUUCUCGAAGUAUCCGAAGCGACAACCCCUCAAACCGCUUGGUAUCCUGAGCAAACCCUACGGUAAUGUAAUUACCUAGGGCUUGGGGGGCCUAUGUACCAUAUGGACCGGACGGAACAUGAGGGAAGGCUAAACAGGAUCUCAACGUGAACGCGAGCCAACCAGGACAAACAGUCGGUUUAAGGAAUAAUGACCGAGAAGUUUUUAUAAAGCCGCCACCCAUUAUUCCCUAUGCUUCGCCACUACUCCGAGGACCAGACGUAGCGGACGGUCAUGUCGUCACACGACAACCGUGACGGUAAGGGUUUUCACGAAGAUCUGCAUGACUAUCAGAAGCCGGUUUCGUCCAGAAAACCGACCGUCCAGAACGGACAGGCAGAAAACUAUAAUUAAUGUCACAUUAGGGACUAAACACAAUUAGGGAUGAUGGGCCCCGGAUUGGGCCGCAAUUAAGAAUCAACUAAUCAUAGGCCCAUGACAGACACCAUAAAUACCAGUCAACAGGUAAAAGGUGGUUGGUUACAUUGAAUGCUCAUUUAUUCAAUUAGACAAUUUCUCUUUCUAUCUCUACCCUUUAACCACCUACUGACUUGAGCGUCUGAGUGCCUUCAGGUACCCGGCCGGUUUGGACAGGAACAAAGUCUGUUGACACAGUUACGCAAGGAGCGGAAAAGCGACCGGACAUUCGGAGCAAAUUGUGGAGGAAGAAGUGGACUAGAGUUUACCCGGAACAUGUUCAAAGAAAGCCAGGAUAUUUACCAGCUCAUCAUAGGUGUCCCUACCUAGAAAAUACAUAAAACAUAUAAUCUGUACACUUAUUAGAAUUUAACACAUUUUAAGCCCAAGUAGUUAUCCCUUAAAACAAAUUUGCAAUAAAACUCCCUUAACCCUUCGAUAUAUACCUAAAUGUAUUAUUCUUUUUGUUUUAAGGUAAGCCGCAUUAAUCUUACAACUUGUAUGUCCUUACGAUUUCAAAUAGAGAAAUAAUACUUUAAUAUAUAUAUAUAUAUAUAUAUAUAUAUAUAUAUAUAUAUAUAUAUAUAUAUAAACUUAUUUAUUUAUUUAUUAUUAUUUUCUAUUUUUUUAUUUUUUUAAAGAUUAUAAAAUUUCAUUCUUUUAUAAUAUUUUAUUUUUAUUAUAUGUUAAAUGAAAGUAAAUAUAUUUCAUUAUAAUUACUCUUUAAAAUAUGAAUUGUAAAUAACUUUUAAUCUAAGGUAAAAAAAAGUUGAAUAUAUAUUAUAAUCAUCAUCAGAUAGGCAAAAGUAAAAUGUGAAGAACCAAUCCAUGAAGGUGUCAAUUGCUCUUGUUGGCAUUUCUAGUUUUCUUGUCGGAGAUUUCUACCCUCGGUCCUCGAAGCUUAUUCUAUUGUCACCGACGGCAUAGGAAUUCUUCCGGUUCCAAGUUGCAUUGGUUUUUUUGUUGUGGUUUUGUCUUUUCAGUUUUUCAUGAUAGUGGAGGUGUUGAUGGUGAUGAAACUUAUUGUUAUUUCAUGUUUCCAAUAUGAAAGACACUUCAACAAAUUCCAACACGUUUUUUAUGGACAAACAUUCAUGAUUUUGGAAUUCAUUAUACAUAUAUGACAAAUCCGACACUUAUUAAUUAGCAUCAAUGCUAAAUGUUACUUUUUCUUGUACAAACAAUAAAUAAGAUAUGGGAUAUUAAAACCAUGUACAUAUAAAAGUAUUACAUCAAGAUUAAAUAAAUAAGGAAAAGGAUUAAAAGGAACUUGAAUCUCUUUUUUUAAACAUGUACAAUAUUUAAGCUUAAUAAAAUUUGUAAUUUGUGUAAAAAUUUUAGAUCAUGUUAUUUACAAUUGUGUGAAACUUUGUAGAGAUCAAUUGGAGUAUUUUAAUUUGUUAAGGGAUAAAUUAAAAUAUUAAAACUUAAGAAAAAGUAACCAAACACAUGUUACAUUAAGGGGUCAUAGUUCCCAUAUAUAAGCACAUACAUUAUUUCUAUUUAUUUCAUCCCAUUAAAAGAGAAAAUCAAGUGGAAGCCAAAUGUGCUCUAUAGUUGGAAGAUCAUAACCCAAGUUAAUCUACAUUGUUUUUAAUGACUAAUCUAGAUACUCUUCCGCUUACUAUUCUAAAGAAAUUGGGAAUUGUUCUACUUAUUUAAAGGUUUAUUGUUUAUUAAUUAUUGAUAUGUUUUUGAUUUAUAUUUUGAUAAUUUAUAUCAAAGCAUGUUAGCUUAUGUUUAAUUCGCAUAAACCAUAAUCUGUUUUCCCUAAUUUUAUUAGAAAUCCUAGUUGUAAAAUUUAGGAUUCCAUUUAAUUGGUUAUGGCUUGCGUGUGAAUCCUUUUUUAGUUCGUAAGGAUCGAAUUAAUAAAUUUUUUUGAGGAGUUUUGAUUAAAUAAUAAAAAAUACCAAUUAAGAACCCUACUAGUCAAUCAUGAAACCUUAAAAAUUGGAAAAAUCCCAAUUUUUGUGUUGUAAUCUACUAUUUUUUUUUUAUCUUCUUCUUUCCAUUUCUAGUGCACCACUAACGGGUCUUCUCCUUUCUCUCAAACGCUGCUACCAUGGUGGAGUUAUAGCUCGUUGGUUGUGUUGAAGGGUGUCUUCUUCCCACCAUCUGUUUUCACAUUGGUAAGGAGGAAACCGUUGCAUAAACAUCAUUGAAGAUAUAGGGUUCUCGUUUGCUCGUGACAACAUGGAUGAUCUAUGGUGGUUUAAGAGACGUGUUGUGGAGGUCCUUCUUCUUCACAUGGGAGGAAUGACAAUGUCUUGUUCAUUGUAGGUCUGGUGGUGGUUUCUUCCACUAAUGGUGGCUCACAGGAGAGGGAGUAGGGGAAUGCUUGAAAGUUUUGGGUAUGGCUCGUAUGACUUGUAGGUGGUGCGCAGUUGGAUAUAUGAGUCAUGGAGGUUAGGCCUACACUCACAUUGUAGAUCUGGUUUGUAUAGUUGUUUGUGUUUUUUGAAAACUAUAAUGAAAACUUUCAAAGAAAAUUAAAUUAAUAAUUAAUUUGGGCUUGGAAUAAAUAAUAAAUAUUUGUUUUGGUAUCGUUUAUAAUUUCAAAUGAGCUAUUUGGUUGGAUUGCAUAGACACUUGUGAUCGUAAACGUGUGAAAAUGAUAAGGCUUUGAGUGUGAAUGAUAAAUCAAUCCAAAGAAGAUAGGUUUGUUGUUGGACAUGUUUUUUUAUCAGUGUUUGAUCAUUACAUCAAGAUAACUCUAGCAACUAACAUUAUUAUCCAAAGACUUGAUAUUGAUGAUGCAUUACUGAUCAUUAUUUGAAUAUAUUUAUAAUUAUUAAUUUUACGAUGGGAGCUUAUUUCCUUUGUUUCUCUUGUACUAAAUACAGAUACAAUUGCUUCAAUAUCUGUCAAUAUAAAUUCAAUUUUGGUCCUGAAGGAUAUAAAGCUUUAGGACUAGAAAAAGAACAUGGAUAUAGUUUAGCUACAUGGAUCUCGACCUCACGUUAAGAAUUAAGAAACUUCCUUCUCUUAUGGACUAAACUAACUCUUACAGAGGAGAGAUUAUGAGAAGUGGGACCGGUCAAAUCGUAUGAGUUUAAUAAUCAUUAAUCACAACAUUUCAGAUGUCUUUAGAGGUGUUAUAUAGGAAGAAAUUACAAGUGUUAAAUAUUUCCUUGAAAAUAUUGAAAAGCAUUUUGCGAAAAACGAUAAGGCGAAAACAAGUGCACUUCUUCAGAGCUUGAUUUUCAUGAAGUAUCAAGGCAAAGAAAAUGCGAGAUAUUAUAUCAUGGAUAUGUCGAACAUUGUUUCAAAACUUAAGACGUUAUAACACUUGAGUUGUCAGAAGACUUACUCAUUCACUUAGUUUGGAUCAUGUACAAAAAGAUGAGAGACUAAAGGAAAAAAAUUGAAAGUGCUCACUUAGGCAGUACCUCUAAUAACAAUGGCAAAAGGAAGAAAACACAGAAUCCCAAUAAUGAAUCUUCUAAAGAUCCACCACAAAAGAAACAAAAAUAGUCUGAUAAAUUUUUCUUUUGUAAUAAAGUUGGACACAUAAAGAAUGAUUGUUUGAAAUAUCAUGCUUGGAGUGCAAAGAAAGGUUUGUCUAAGCUACCAGAAGCUAAUUGAUUCUGAAAUAUGGAUCUAUGUUGGAUAUGACAAAUCGAUAGAGAUGAAAGUUAUAGGAUAUUUUAUAUUAUUACUGUGUAUUAAUUUUUUAUUUGCAUUUGAAAGAUACUUUAGUCGUACCGCCAUUUAGCUUGAUUUCAUUUUUCUAUUUAUUCAGAAAAAUUAUGUUAUUUGUAUUUAUUUUGAAAUAAUGAAUUCAGAUUGUCUCUAAAUUAAAAUGUUUUUAGAACCAGUUCACUUUUGACUAAUGAUAAUCUAUAUAUGCUUAAUAUGGUGACUUCCUAUAGUAAAUCCUUAAAUACAGAAUUGCAUGGUACUAAGUGUGAUAUUUGUUAAAUUUAAAGAAGAUUGAGCCAGAAAAUCGUGUCCCCUCUUGCUGGAGAACUUUCAUAUAUAUACAACUAAUUACAAUCUGUUAAGCUGAUUUUCAACCCACUAAAUAAGCUAAACUGUCAUAUAUACAUUUACUACAGCUAAUUAUUCUAAUCAAGAGAAUAACAGUUACAAAUAAAUAUAUAAUUGCAUAUCUUUGCCAUUCAUUCUAUUGACAUCCCCCCUCAAAUUGAUGUUGGUGAAUCUACAAGCGUCAAUUUGCCAAGUAGAAAAUUAUGACGCUGGCGUGACAAUGAUUUAGUGAAAAUGUCAGCUAUUUGAACCGAUGUGGAGACAUGUGGUAGAUUGAUGACUCUACGAUCAUACGUUUCUCGGAUAGAAUGGCAAUCGACCUCGAUGUGUUUCGUCCGUUCAUGGUAAAUUGGAUUUACGACAAUCUGUAUGGCACUUGUGUUAUCAGCAUGCAGUGGAGUGGGUUGUGCUUGAGACAAUCCAAGCUUUGUAAGAAGACCAUGUAGCCAUAUUAUUUCAGAACAAGCAGCAGACAUUGCGUGAUAUUCUGCUUCAGUGGAGGACUUGGAGACUGAAUCUUGUUUCUUACAUUUCCAUGAAAUAGGAGCAUUCCCUAGGAACAUACAUCAGCCAGUAGUUGAUCUCCUAGUGUCUGGACAACCAGCCCAAUCAGCGUCACUAUAAGCUUGGAGUUGAAGAGAUGAAUUACUAGGAAAGAAUAAACCACGACUUGAGUUGCCAAGGAGAUAUUUAAUGAUACGCUGAACUGCUAAAAAAUGGAAGUUUCUUGGAGAUUGCAUGAACUUACUAACCGUGUGUAUAACAAAAGAAAUAUCAGGGCGAGUGAUAGUCACAUAGAUGAGACUACCAACUAGUUUCCGAUAUUGAGUGGGAUCAUCAAGAAGUUGUCCUUCAUGUUGUCUAUAUUUAACAUUAACUUCCAUUGGAAUGUCAACAGAGGUAACAUUGGUGAGUCCCGCUAGCUGGACCAAAUCUUGAAUAUAUUAAUGUUGAUUUACAAAAAUGCCUUAAGGAUGGUAAUGCACCUCUAAACCCAAGAAAUAAUUGAGAUGACCUAACUCUUUCAUGUGAAAAUUUGAGUGCAACAUUUGUUUGAUUCUAGAAAUAACAUAUUGAUCAAAACCAGUAACCACAAUGUCAUCCACAUAAACAAGAAGUAUGGCGAUGCCUUUAGGAGUCCGUUGAAGGAAGAGUGAUGGAUCAUACUGACUUUGAUUGAAAGAAUAACCAAGAAGAGUGGAGCAAAACUUUUCAAACCAUACUCUUGGGGCCUGCUUUAAUCCAUAUAAAGAGCGUUUCAAUUUGCAAACAGUAUUCGGGGAGAGAGUUGACAUACCACCAGGAAGUGUGAUGUAAACAUCCUUCUUAAGGUCACCGUGGAGGAAUGCAUUUUUUACAUCCAUUUGAUGUAAUGGCCAAGAUUUGGAUGCAGUAAGAGAAAGAAUAGUGCGUACAGUGGUCAUCUUGGCAACUUGAGCAAAAGUCUCGUCAUAGUCCAGGCCAUACUCUUGCUUAUUUCCAAGCACAACCAGUCGCGUCUUGUACCGGUCUAUAGAGCCAUCUGAACGCGGAUUUAUAGAGAACACAAACUUGCUGCCUAAAGGUUUAACAGAUGGAAGACAUGGCACUAUAUCCCAUUGUCUGAUUUUCUUCCAAGGCGAGAAGUUCACUUUCAAUAGCUUUUUGCCAACAUUCAUUCUUCAUUGUCUGUUUAUAAGAAGAAGGAAUAGGAAUAGAUGAUAAUGUUGCUGCCAUGGAACAAAUAUACCUUUCUGGGGGCUUACCAAUGUGUGAACUGCGUCGCAAAGGUGCUGGUUCUAGUUCUGGAGCUUGUACUAUGAUCAGCACCUUCCAUCAUACUAGGUCAACAUCCAAGGAAUUAUCUUGAAGGGGCCCAUGGGAUUGUGCUAGGUGAUGUUGAGUUGUAGUAUUUCGCCUUUGAUAGGUCAAUAGAGGUCUAGAUGAUGAUUGACCUGCAGACGACUUAGAAAACAAUGGCAAAACAAAAAUUGGAGAAGAGAACGAUUCAUUAUGAUUUGCAAAAAAAAAUAUACACUUUCUAGAAAAAUGACAUUUCGAGAGACUCGAAUCCGAUGAAGAGUAGUAUCAUAACACAGAAAUCCCUUUUGAUGAGGAGAAUAGCCAAGAAAAGCACAUUCAAUAGAUUGUGUAGUGAGCAUGGUGCGUUCGUGUGGAGGAAGAUGGACAUAACAUGAACAACCGAAGACACGAAGAGUUGAGUAAUCGGGUGGGUGACCAAAUAAUCGAGUGAAAGGAGAUUCAGUACUUAUGGAAGGAAAUGGUAAUCUGUUUAUAAGAUGAACAAAAGUGGAAAGGGCUUCACACCAAAAUUGUGAUGGCACAUGUGACUCUAGUAAAAGAGUGCGGACAACAUCUAGCAAAUGGCGAUUUUUCCGUUCAGCCACCCCAUUUUGUUGGGGGGUUCAUGGGCAUGAUCUUUAAGAUAAAAUGCCAUUGGAUUGCAAGAAUUCCUGAAACAAAUGUGAUGUGUAUNAAUCCAUAUAAAGAGCGUUUCAAUUUGCAAACAGUAUUCGGGGAGAGGGUCAACAUACUACCAGGAAGUGUGAUGUAAACUUCCUCCUUAAGGUCACCGUGGAGGAAUGCAUUUUUGACAUCCAUUUGAUGUAAUGGCCAAGAUUUGGAUGCAGCAAGAGCAAGGAUAGUGCACACAGUGGUCAUCUUGGCAAUUGGAGCAAAAGUCUCGUCAUAGUCGAGGCCAUACUCUUGCUUAUUUCCAAGCACAACGAGUCGUGCCUUGUACCGGUCUAUGGAGCCAUCCGAACGCAGCUUUAUAGAGAACACAAACUUGCUACCUAAAGGUUUAACAGAUGGAGGACAUGACACUAUAUCCCAUGUCUGAUUUUCUUCCAAAGGCAAGAAGUUCACUUUCAAUAGCUUUUUGCCAACAUUCAUUCUUCAUUGCCGGUUUAUAAGAAGAAAUAGGAAUAGAUGAUAAUAUUGCUGUCAUGGAACAAAUAUACCUUUCUGGGGGCUUACCAAUGCGUGAACUGCGUCGUAAAGGAGCUGGUUCUGGUUUUGGAGCUUGUACUGGAUCAACAUCCAAGUAAUUAUCUUGAAGGGGCCCAUGGAGUUGUGCUAGGUGAUGUUGACUUGUAGUAUUUCGCCUUUGAUAGGUCAGUAGAGGUCUAGAUGAUGAUUGACCUGCAAAAAACUUGGAAAACAAUGGCAAAAUAGAAAUUGGAGAAGAGAACGAGUCAUGAUGGUUUACAAAAAAAUAUACACUUUCUAGAAAAUUGACAUUUUGAGAGACUCGAAUCCAAUGAAGGUUAGGAUCAUAACACAUAAAGCCCUUUUGAUGAGGAGAAUAGCCAAGAAAAGCACAUUCAACAGAUUGUGCAGUGAGCUUGGUGCGUUCGUGUGGAGGAAGAUGGACAUAACAUGAUCAACCGAAGAUACGAAGAGUGGACUAAUCGGGUGGGUGACCAAAUAAUCGAGUGAAAGGAGAUUAGUUACUUAUGGAAGGAGAUGACAAUCUGUUUAUAAGAUGAACAACAGUGGAAAGGGCUUCACACCAAAAUCGUGAUGGCACAUGUGACUCUAGUAAAAGAGUGCGGACAAAAUCUAGCAAAUGGUGAUAUUUCCGUUCAGCCACCCCAUUUUGUUGGGGGGUUGAUGGGCAUGAUCUUUGAGAUAAAAUGCCAUUGGAUUGUAAGAAUUCUUGAAAUACAUUGAUGUCUAUUCCCCCCAUUUUCAGAGCGAAGAAUCUUGAUUUUGGAGGAGAAUUGGGCUUGAACAUAAACAUUAAAGAAUUUGAAAGUGGAAAAGACUUCAUCUUUUGAGCGCAAGAAAUAGACCCAAGUGAAACGACUAUAAUCAUCAAUAAAAGUUACAAAAUAUUUGUAAUUAGCAUGAGACGUAACUGGUGCCACUCCCCAAACAUCACUAUGGAUGAUAUCAAAUGGUUUUGUUUCAGUGGACUGAUGUGAAAAGGUAGAAUUUUACUUUUGCCAAGCUUACAAGGAAUGCAAUCAAACUAAAUAUUAUUAAGAGAUGGGGUGUGUUUAUUUCCAAGAAAACCAAAUUUGAACAUGUCAUGGAGAACAUUUGAGUUGGGAUGCCCAAGGCACUUAUGCCACACUUGGUGAUCAACAAUGGCAGAAUUACAAAAGACUAAAGGCAAAGAGAGACUUGGAGAUAGCGGGAAAUGGAUAGGAAAAAUACGUCCAACUUUAGGCCCCUUCGCGAUUAUCUUCCCCGAGUUUUGAUCCUGCACAAGACAACCAGACUGUGAGAAUUGAACUCGACAAUCAUUGUCGACUAAUUGACCAACAGAAAUGAGAUUACUGGUGAGACCAGGAGCAACAAAGACAUUUGUUAGAAAUGAAGAAAUAUCACCAGUUUCUGUUUUAGGCAAUUAAUUUCCACCAGUAGUAUGUAUUAUGAGAUUCCCCGGAUAGUUUUUUAUAUUAGUAAGGAAUCGAGUACUGUUGGUCAUGUGGUUGGAAGCCCCAGAAUCAAAGUACCAUGGGGAAGAUGAGUUACCUGAUAAUCCCAAAGCAGAAAAAGCUGAAAUUAUCAUUUGUUGAACCAUUUCAGGAGUCAAAGUUUGAACAUCAGUUGUAGCUUUUAGAUGGACAGGUGGUGCAUUGGCAGAACUGUUGGUAAUAGAAGAAAUAGUUGUGGUUUUAAAAGUUGUUGCAGGUCGUCGUGGUGGCCUUAUUGGGCAUUCCUUAAUAAUAUGACCAUCCUUUUUACAGUAGUUGCAGAAUUUUUCCGGACAGGUUGAAGCAUAGUGGCCAAAUUGCUUGGAACUAAAACAUUGAAUAGUACUCAUGUCAUGGCGUCGUGGCUUCCCUUGUGUCGCGUAUGCUACUGGAACAGUAGACACUCUUUGUUCUUCAAUGAUGGACUGUGUAAGAAGACGUUGUUCUUCACGUAACAACUCAUUGAGACAUGCAUCCAACGAUGGGACAGGAUCUCUAUGCAUGAGAUUUGACCGGAUGCAUUCAAAGUCAGAUCUCAAUUUCAUAAGAAAUUGAUCACGUUUAGUAAUAUCAUGAAUUGUUUGUACGGAACUGAGACCUUCGGAAGGCAAGUUUGCAUAAACUAUAUCAGUGUAUUCAGCCCAUAGAUUCAUGAAUUGAGAGUAAAAAUCAAAGAUGGAGAGACUAUCCUGUUUAAAGUUAGCGAUGUUGUGCUAAGCUAGAAUCGACGAGCUGCAUUAUUUUGACUAUAAAUUUUCUUCAGGUAAGACCACAUUGUGCUGGAUGUCUUGUAAGGACGAAGAUUCAAGACAAUGUUCGAAUCCACGAAACCAAGGAUCCAGGCCAUGACUUGAGCAUCCUUGACUGCCCAUUUAGCAUGAGCGACCCUAUCUUGGUCUUUGUUAAGAGCCGGAAUGCUGCCAUCAACAUGACCCCACAAAUCUUUUCCGGUGACAAAGAUCUGGAAUUGGAAUGCCCAAGCUGAGUAGUUUUUUUCGUUAAAGCGAACGAACAAGACAUCAUAUUUUUCUGAAGCCAUGGAGCUGCCAGGAAAAACAGAGACGAGAAGGAUCGAGAAUCGAGAGUCAAGAAUCGACUGUCGAGAGUCGAGAGUCGAGAGUCGAGAACAAGACUGAAAAACGCAAACCAGGUUUGGUCGAGAGUCGAGAACGAGACUGAAAAAUGCAGGGGAUCGUAACCUAGACUGAUACCAUGUUAAAUUUAGAGAAGAUUGAGCCAGAAAACCGUGUCCCCUCUUGCUGGAGAACUUUCAUAUAUAUACAACUAAUUCCAAUCUGUUAAGUUGAUUUUCAGCCCACUAAAUAAGCUAAACUAUCGUAUAUACAUUUACUACAGCUAAUUAUUCUAAUUAAGAGAAUAACAGUUACAAAUAAAUAUAUAAUUGCAUAUCUUUGCCAUUCAUUCUUUUGACAAUAUUGACUUCACAAACCUUGUUGUUUGUGUUGAAUUUGUUAAAAGUAAACAAACAUAAACAACAAGAUCAGAGACUAUAAAUUCUAUGAUCCCAAAUUAAAGUUACCUUUUUGAGAUAAGAACAAUGGCAUUAUUUUAGGAUAUAGAGUUUAGGGGAAGAAUAGGGUUAGAAAGUGUCUUAGAGGAAGAAUCAACAAAAAUUCCAUAUUUGAUUCAUACAGUUUUUUAUGAUGAAGCAAGUUUAAAAUCUCUACAAGAAAAAAAAAACUUAAGAUCCUCGUAAACUUGUGCUUCAUGAGGAGUAUAAGUCUAUGCAAGACAAUAAGAUUUGAAAACUUGUCUUAUUAGCAGAAGGUGUGAAACUCAUUGGUAGCAAGUGAAUAUUUAAGACCAAGAGGAAUUCUAAAGGUAAUGUGGAGAUAUAUAAGGUUCGUCUUGUGGCAAAGGGUUAUACUCAAAAGAAAGGGGUUUAUUGUUUUUAAAGAGACUUUCUCUCCAGUUUUAUCGAAAGGCUCUUUUAGAACAAUCAGACUCUUGUUACACAUUAUGAUUUGAAGCUUUAUCAAAUGGAUUUCAAGACAACAUCUCUCCAUAGCAACAUUGAUGAGACAAUUUAUUUGGUGAAAUUAAAAAACAUUGUAUUAUAAAACACUACAAAAAAAAUGUUAUUUACAUACGGAUUAUUACAUACGGAUUUUAAUCUGUGGAUAAAAACUCUAUUAUAUACGGAUUUUAUAUACGAAUGAGUUAUAUACAGAUUUUUCCGUAUAUAAUGAUAAAAAUAUUUACAUACGGAUUUUCCGUAUGUAAAAUCCGUAUAUAACAGGUGAUUUCUCCUUACAUACGGAUUUUAAAAUAAAUAAUUAAAAAAUAAAUAAAAAAUCUAAACUUAAGACAAAACCUAAGAGUCAGAAUCAUUGUAAAUUUCUCCUAGAGUCCUUCCUCUUCCCUUUCAUCGAACCCUUGUUCUUCCUUCUCAUCGAGUCAUUGUUUCCAACCUUUCUUCUCUAGCCUUCCCGUCAUCAAGCCUUUCUUUUCGUUGAGCCAUUUCCUUCGAGCCUUUCCUCUCCCUGUCUGGAACCAUCAUCUUCGUGUCUCGAACCCUAGGAGUCCCUGCCUCCAAUCGUGGCCCCCUGUCCCUGUGUGGUACCCGUGUUCUCCGUCAACGAACCCUCGAUUCACAGUGGAGCCCUAGGACUCCUAUUCUCGUACUCUGAGGUCAAUGCCACCUUCUUUCGGUCUCGGUGAGUCUGUGGUGAGUCCUUAAUGUUCUUCCUUUAAUGUAUAACUUUCUUCAGUUGAUGUGUAGUCAUUUAAUGUUGCGGUGAUUCACUGAGAAGAGAAGUUUGGUUGUCUAGCCAUCUCUUAGUGUUCGUUGUUGUAGAUUUAGCCAUCUCUCAGUGUUCCUUGUUGUAGAUUUGGUCAGAAGAAGAAGUUUGGUUGUCUAACCUCCACCGUACACCUCUCCCGCGUUGGCUUUCCCCUGAAACCCUACCCUAAAAUUGAAAAAUCGGAAAAUCCUAAUGUGUUUGAAUGAGGGAUUGAAUGUGAAAUGGCUUCGAAGUUGAAAACGUGUUUCAUUCAAUUACUAAGAAACUCCAAGAACUUGUUAUCCAAACGAAAGAAUUGAAGCUUGAUUGAGGGAAUUUGAAUAGGUUUGCUAAGAAGGGAGCCUUAAUGUAUUUGAAUAUCAAUCACGAUAAACAUAUAUGGCCUACAAAGAACAGAGUGAACAUGAGGUUAUUUCUCACUAACAAGUCUGGUGUAUUCAUGGAAAUUAACCUGAGCUUUUUAUAUGCCUUGCUGAUUUCAAUAUUUAGAUCUGUGGUAUUGAUGUUUCACACUUUUGCCCCUUUCAGGAAAAACAAUCGCUUGAGAUUUGGCAGCUGCUAUUGCCUAUUGUGUAUGGUUUUUUAGAAAUUGUGGUGCUAUCUCAAACAUAUGUUCGUACUCUUACUGGUGUAGCUCUUCGUGUUAUUCGUGAUCCUGCUCCUGGUGGAUCAGAUCCAGUAGACAAUUCCCGAAGAGCAUAUACGACUUCUGCUGUGAUUGAGAUGCUUCGGUUUUUUGUGAAGAAUGCAUCCAGAACAAAAUCUAGUUCAAGAAGUAUGGAUCAGAAUAUCUGUUCUUCAGCUAUAUUUGAAAGCCCAGGUCCUUUUAACAUAAGUUUGUGAGAUAUCUCACUUAGAAUUUUAACAUAAGUUUCUGAGUACAUGUCAACUGGCUGACAGUUGAGCAAACUAUACUCCAUCUUAGUAUUCUCAAAGCAAUUCAGCAUGUAUGAUAGAUACUAUCCUAUUGAACAGAAUAUUGCUUUUACAAGUUUGUACUUCUAUAGAUUAUCUAGUAUGAAAUCAACUAGAAAUAAUGUCAUCAUCUAUGCGGAAGUUCAGGUGAAUUAAGCAUACAAUGGCCCUGUUCUUAAGUCUGUCUAGCAUCUAGUGAUAUUUAAAUUAAUUUAUUUCAUGAACAGGUUGGUGGGAUGUUGUCAGUGGUCUAGGUAAAGCACUGCAAAAGAAAGGACACCUUGUUGAAAUUGUGCUUCUCAAAUAUGAUUGUAUGCAAUAUGAUCAUGUCUGCAACUUACGGGUAUGCCAUUUCAUUAAGAAAAUAAUUGAACGUGUUCGAUACUAUCAUGGUAGGUUGUAUCCUGCACUACUUGAAAUAAUUUGAUUAUUCAUUCAGGCUUUGACGGUGCCUAUAAAAUCAUACUUUGAUCACCAAUGAUACAAAAAUAAAAUCUAGGUUGGCAGUAUUUCAGGUAUUCAUUCUAUUAGAUAUUUUCGUUUUAAUUCAUUGUCUUUUUAGUCACUAAUAGUAUUGCAUAUUUGUUUCUUUGCUAGGCUCCUCUGUACUGGGAGAUAUUUGUACAUAAAGGAUUAAAUUCAGCUAGGAUAUGCUUACAUGCCACAACUUUNAGUAUCAGGGGACUGCANCANCUUCANAGUUAGACUAAUGGGUCUUGUUAGCGAGAAUCUAAAANAAUCAGAUAAAAUGUGGGACAACUCAGCACAUGAUAGAGUUAAUUCUAAGGUAAGGUCAUAAAAUUAUUACCAAUCAUAUUAUAUAUCUGCAGUAAAUAUAAGUAAUAGAUUUUCCUUUCAUGAUCAGGGUGGGAUUGUUUUNUCAAACAUUGUGACAAUAGUUUCACCUCUUUCACGACCUUACCUUAUAAUUUCUUUCAAUUUGAUACACAAAAAUUUUGUAUAUUAUUUAACAAUUGAUAUAGACACUAACUUAUAAUAUUUUAUAUAUUAUUGCUUUGACAUGAUUUUACUUCCUUUUAUUGUCAUGUAAAUUAUUUUUGGACCAUUUUACAGCUCCUAACAUUAAUAACCCCCAUGUGAAAAAACAAACACACCAGGCUCCAUGCCUUCUCACUCUUAAAUGUUAUUCAAUGACCAAAUAUUUGAUCCUUUUGUAUUAAAAAACUUAACUUGAAUUGAAAGUUGUUCUGACAUAANGAAAGAUAUUAGCAAUCACAUUUCUUGACACUAUUAUAAUAUUAGGUGAAAGUCAUGUGAAACUUAACUUGAAUUGAAAGUUGUUCUGACAUAAAUUUAAAAGCAGGUUACAGGUCAAGGGACCUGUUAGAAUGCCUUCCAAUGUUCUUCACAUCACCACCAGGAAGUCCCCAUGCGGUGAAGGUAUAUUUCCUCAAAUUCUCUCUUUAAAUUUCAUCUUUAUGUGUUUUUGUGCUAUACACCAAACACAAUUUUUGUCGCUUUAAAUUUAAUGGAAAAAUGAAUUCAAAGGUCAUUUCUUGCAGACAAGUUGAAAAUUUCUUGAGUGAAGAUUUCCUUCUUUGGAAAUGUACCCUUCAUACCUUCAGACAGUAAAUCUANGAUAGAACACUGACAGACAAAAAUGAUUAUUAUACCUUCAGGUACUUGAUCUUUUUCCUAUUAUUAUUCUUUUCCUUAUUAUAUUUGUCGGUUCCAUUUUCUUUGCCAUUCAAUUCUUUUAUAAUUUUUUGAGGUCCCUACUGAUAAAUAACAAUAUAUGCAUAUUAUAGUUAGUGAAAAUUUUAAGAAAAUAUAGGGUUCUUUUAAAUUGUCGGAAUGUAAAAGGUUUAUUCCAAAAACCUAUGAUAAAUUAAAUUUUGUAAUAGUUGUUUCUGCAUUUCCAUUUUGUGCUUGGGAUUUGUAACAUUUGUUAAUGCAUGAAUUGCAGUUGGAAAAACUGAUUUCUUAUUGACCAAGUCCUACUCUUGUUGCAUUUCAGGGAUGGUUGUACAAAUUUCAUAUCUCUAUAGAAAAGAAAGCAUGAAACUAGCCAAUGGCUUAAAAUUGAAGCUACCGAAGUCACACCCAAUCGUGUUGACACCUAUGCAAUUGAUGCUUUUGGUAUAUAUAUUACACUGUUAUUCCAUUUUUCACCAUUAAAUUGACUUUGUGUAUAGAUCUACUACACUUUUAAUUAUAAUGAAGUCACACUUCUAAAUAUACAAUUUGUUUAUUUAUUAUUAUUGUAUAUAUAUAUUUUUAAUUUUUGAUUGAUUUAUCCAUUUUAAUUACAUGUUUUAAUUUGUUUUUUUGUAUUAUUUCUUACAAUUUGGCAGUUUUAUUUUACUUUUAUAGUAUAUAGAUAUGUGAGUUAUUGGGUGUAGAUGUGAGAUUAUCUCUUUUUUUUUUAUAAAGCUAUAAAGUUACAUACGGAUUUUUCGUAUGUAAUUACAUACACAUAUUAUAUACGGAUUUUCCGUAUAUAAUUACAUACAGAUAUUAUAUACGGAUUUUCCGUAUGUAAUUACAUACGGAUAUUAUAUACGGAUUAUCCGUAUGUAAUUUAUAUACGGAUUAUCCGUAUGUAAUUUAUAUACGGAUUAUCCGUAUGUAAUUUAUAUACGGAUUAUCCGUAUGUAAAUUAUAUACGGAUAUAUCCGUAUAUAACCUUAUCUACACCCCUAUUAUAUACGGAUUUUUGACCGUAUGUAAUCCGUAUAUAACACUACAUUAUAUACGGAUUUUGGAAGUUAUAUACGGAUUUUGGCCGUAUGUAACAACGAUUUUUCUUGUAGUCAAACCCAAAGAAUAUGGUUUAUAAAUUGACUAAAUUCAUUUAUAGGCUAAAAUAGACAUCUUGUUAAUGGUAGCGCAAAUUUAAUCAAGUGAUUCUCUAAUUUGGUUUCAAGAUGAAUGUUGUUGAUGAUUACGUGUAUCAUAAAUUCAGUGGGAGAAAGUAUAUUUUUCUGGUCUUGUAUGUUAAUGACAUACUUAAAGGAUUCGACAUUGUAGAACUUCUCUACCCCACUCUAAGUCACCAGAACUUCUCUAAGUUCUCUUCCUGGCCGCAACAACAGGGUACACAAUUAGCAUUUGAUUGUAGAUAACUCUGAUCUCCAGAAAGUAUACCUUAAUGUGCAAGUAUGAUCAGCAACUGUGAAGCUCAAAGUUCUUCAAAGAAUCUUGAUGAAUUUCCAAAUAUGACAAUCUUGAUUCUUGAAGCAAACAGGAUGCUCCUGUAAUAAAUCUCAAUAAACAAAUCAGAUAUGAAAGUUUUGAAUCGUUAAAGUUGUUGAAUAUAGAGAGCAAUGCAUCUAUUUAUAGUUUUUCUCAACUCUGACGUGUUUUAAUCGAUUAUGCAAAUAAUGUAAUCGAUUAAUCAAUUCCUUCUACAAUAAUAGAUUUGCAUUUCAGAGCAUUUAACAGAUUAAGCAACGCAUGUAAUCGGUUAACAAAAACACAUAUGUCAUAGUAUUUAAAAAUAUGAACGUUGUGACAAUUAUGGUUGUUCAUGAAAAAGACUUUCAUACAAAGCACAAUUUAACCGAUUAAGAAAUUAGUGUAAUCGGUUAAGUUUCAAACUUAAGCAUUUUGAAAAAAAUUUCAUUAAAAAACAUAUCAAUGCACUCAGUAAACUAAGUUUUAAUUGAUUAUACUCAUAAUUUAAUCGAUUAAAACUUGUUGUUUUGCCACAAUUAAGCAUGUACUGAUAUUUGAUGAAUCUAACAGAUUAUGUAAAUAAUGAAAUUGAUUACUUCAUACAGAUAUGCAAAGUGCAAAGUAUUUUAUCCACUGAUUCAUUAUCAAACAAUGAAUACACAUUACAGAUAGUUCAAGCACUUAUCAAAGAUAUAAACAAGCAACAAUUUUUCCAUGUGCAAGAAACUAUAAAACAUUUCUAUUGUCAUCAUCAAAAACACAUAUGUGAGAUAUGGGUUUAGUUUUACAUAACUCCCCCUAUCAACAAACAUGAAAGAUUGUAAAUAAGAGGAUUCUCCAAUUCCUAAGGGAGACAAUUUUGGUUUCAAUCUGCUAAGAAAAAAUUGUCUAAACGAUAAACGUUAAGACAAGACUGUCUAAACAUUGCGUGUUAAGAUAUAAUCGUCUAAGCAAACCUAGUUUUGAAGUUUAACAAAGCAUUUAAACGAAAUAACGUCUAAUAAAAUGAAUCGUCUAGGAUAUCAAACACAUGUGCUAAAUUCCAUAUCAAAAAUAUCCUAAACACCAUAAGUUACUCAAACAAAAAAUGCAAAACGAUAGUACAAAUAUAAUGUUUAAACAACCAGGAUCGUCUAAUGCUUUAUCACAUGUACGUUGUAGUACAUUUUUGUCUGUUGUGUUGUGCAUCAGAAUCAGAAGAAUGUUUAGAGACGUGAAGAUAUUCUAAGAAUGUUUCUUCAUUCUUCUGCUUGUCUCUUUCGUACAUAGCAUUGUUGCCUCUACAAGACACAACAUAACUUCUGACUUAGUACAAAAGACUAUAUCCCUUCUUGAAAGUUAAAAGCUCUUAGUAACAAAUCUUUUUCAAAAAAGCCUAUAUAAAUAGGACUACAUGAAGAGAAGAAAUCAAGAUCUAAGAAUUAAGAAUUAUAUGUGCAUACUCUUUUGUUAUUGUUUUCUAAAGCUUACAUCAAUUAAUGCUUGUUCUUUGAAAAGAAAAGCUCUUUACAAGUUUUCAUAAUAUCUUUGUAUUGAUUUCAAAUCCUCUCUAUGAGAAUUACAUAUUUUUUUAUUCUAAUCUAUAAAACACUCUAUUGUUUUCUUUUAGAAGUGAAGUAAAAUACUUGUAAGUUUGACUUAGUGGAAUUAAAUUGUUUAAUCAGUUAGACUAGUUGAUAUCAGGUUUGAUUAUACACAUCCUAACCAAUUGGGUUAAGUUGUACACCGAGAGUGGUUAAACUUAUUAUAAUUCGUUUUUAUUAAUGGAACCCCUUAAGAGUACUUAAGGGAGAACUGAAUGUAACUCAGUUUGGAACGAACCAGUAUAAAAAUAAGCGUGGCUUAUUACUUUUUAUUUUUCAAAGGUUUUCCCUUAAUGAUGCUUUAAAUAUUUAAGUGUUUAAUAACUAUUACAGACCGUCUAACCCUUGCAAAAUUGUUUAGCGAAAAGAUUUAAAACUCUAUUUAAAUCCUCCAUUUCUAGAGUUUUCUUGUGUUACACAAUCAAUCUGCAAAAGGAAAUUAGGAAAGUUGGGAAAUGUAGAAGAUUCCCUAUGCUUCAACUAUAGAGUUUGAUGUAUGCCCAAGUAUGUAGGCGUCCAUAUAUAACAUACAUAAUUGGGGUUUUAUUUAGAUAUUUAAGUAAUCCAUGAAUGGACCAUUGGAAAAGGCCAAAGGUAUUUCAAGAGAACAAAGGUUUAUAUACUCACAUAUAAAAGGUCAUAUCAAUAAGAUAUCAUUGGGUAUUCUGAAUCAAUUUUGCAAGAUGCAAAGAUAUUUUAAAAUCCACUAGUAGUGUAGUUUCUUGGACCAAUGCCAAGCAAACCCUUACAACUUCAUCCACUAUGGUUGUAGAAUUUGUAGCAUGCUCUGAGACAUCAAAUUUAAGGAAAAUGGUUGAUUUUUUUGUCACAAGGUUGCUCAUUAUGGAAGGAAUUGAAAGACCACUUAAGUUAUACUAUGACAAUAAAUCAAUUGUAUUGUAUUCUAACAACAAUAGGAGCCCGAGCAAGUCAAACUACAUUGAUAUCAAGUUUUUGGUUGUUAAAGAAAUGGUAUAAAGUGGACAUAUUUUCAUAGCAAACUUAGCAACAAACUUCAUGGUAGAAAAUCCUCUUAUUAAGGGACUUACACCCAACACUAGUAUAAAAACAGCGUAUAACGUCGAAUAUUUUUGGCCUUUCACGUCAAAUUCGAGAACGACGUCAUAUCAAGAGACGUUAAAUUGACAUCGAAUUUAAAAAAUUCGAAGUUAAUUUAACGUCGAAUUUUGUCAAUAUACAACGUUAAUUUAAUGUCGAAUUUUAUCAAUAUACAAUGUUAAUCAAUUUCUUUUUAUUUUUUUAAUUAAUUGUGAUCCUUUUUUACAACUUUAUGAGACCUGAAAAGGACAAAAACAACAAAUUUCAGUUUUUGGUAUUUUAUAAAGCAUGAACUAUGAACAAUAAUAUAGGAUAUAAAAAAGAACAAUAACAAACAAAAAAGUUCAAUCAAACAACAAAACAAGUUCAAUCAAACAAUAAUAACAAACAAGUUCAACCAAACAACAACAACAAACAAGUUCAACAAAAAAAAUAAAUAACAAACAAGUUAUCAACAAAUAAAUUCUUCAAAACGAAAACGAAAACGAAAACUAACCUUUAAAAGGUGGGUUCAUCGGAAUAAAGUGUUGCCACAAGUGAGAGAGAAAGCAGAAUGCACCUAUGAAGGACAAGAACACGAAAAUAAUCGGUGAAAACAAACGAAAAUCAUACCUAAAGUAGUUAAUUAACAUGCAUUUGUAUCAAAUGAAAGAAAGAUUACAUGUGAUGGUUGUCAAACUUCGAAAAAAGUUUGAGCAGAGAAAAGGGUCUCGCGCGCUAAGAUAAAGUGAAUUAAUUUUCAAUCUCCCGCUUAAAUUUUUUUGAAUUCACUAACUUUUAACGUCUAACGCUGGGCAUUCGACGUUUUAUAUCUUUUUACGUCGAAUUACAAUUCUAAAUGACGUUUAAUAAUUGCAUUUAUUUACAAAUAUGCCACCGGUCAUUUUUAAUGUUGGCUAUUGAGUGGUUCGACAUAAAACGUGUGAUAUUAUACAUUGUUUUUGCACUAGUGCAAGGUCUUUCAUGAGCAUGUCACUCAUGCGGGUGUUUUACAUUUAAGAAAUGUUUGGUUUAGUGGAAGUAAGUUACUUUUGUGUGUUUAUGUUCUAUGUUUGCUUUCAUGUAUGCAUACAUUGUCUUUUGCACAUAUUUAGUUUAAUCAUUAUAUUACUUAUUAUUUAGAAAUUACACUAUGUAUAUUAAGGUUAUUAUAUUAAUUUCAUUGAGAAAAAGUAAGAAUCAAUUGAAAAUAGACGUGUACAAGUCCAUUUCACUUAAUUUUCAUGCUACACAUUUCAUGAUGAAUCCAUGUCAUUUGGUUCUAUCAGCAUUAUGAUGCAAUGAAAACUACUUUGGUUCGAUAUGUAGAUGUAAUAAACAAAUGAGAUCUUUUGAAUAUGUUCAAGGCAUAUAAUGAAAUAUAUAUAUAUAUAUAUAUAUAUAUAUAUAUAUAUAUAUAUUACAAAUCAUUAAAUAUGUUAAGACCAUUAUAUUAUGUUAGUCAAUUUAUUAAAGUGAUAUAAUUAAUCAAGUUAUGGCUAAAGACAUAUAUGUCAUGAAAGAUUAAUUGUUCAGAGAUCAUAAGCAAUAUUUUAAUUUGUUGAGGGGUUAAAUUAAAAUAUUGAAAUUUAAGAAAAGGUAUAGACAAAGUUUACAUAAAGAGGUCACGGUCCCUGAUACGUUGUCGUUGACACUAUCAAAUUACUAUUACUUAACAAGGCAACUUUAGUAUUGUCAAGUUAGUAGUUAACAAACAAAAUAGGGUUAAGUUAGUCCUGAGUCGUUUCCUAAUGAAUACGAACUUGUUUUUCAAUACUUGAUUCUUAUGAAAGCCUAUGAAAGGUUAGUAAAACACAAUGCAAUGCUAUAAAGCUAUCCUAACGAAAUUGAUAUUGGAGAUUGAUAUUUUCAUAUAAAAGCACGUACACUAUUACUAUUUCUUUCUUUUCAUCCCCUUCAAAAGAGAAAAUGAAGAGAGAACCUAAGGUGCUUCACAGUUGGAAGUUCGGAUACCAUUUAAUCUGCGUUGUUCCGAAUGGAUAAUCAAGGUACUCUUCUCCUUACUGUUUUAUGUUGGGAAUUAUUGUACUUAUGUAAGGGUUUAUUGCUCAUUAAUUAUUAAUAUGUCUUCAUUCAUAUUCUAACAAAAUAAACUAUUAUAUUUCUUAAAAAAAGUAUAGAAAAAUAAUGUGAAAUUGGAGUAAAAAGGUUUUUGGGUGUUAAAAUACCAUUAUCCAAAAUUUAUAUUAUAGUAAGGUUAUAGUUGAGAAUAAUCCUUUUGUUUUCCCUUUGGGCGGAGUCAAUAUAGGACAAUUGACCUUAAUUUCAUGUACUCUUUUUUCAAUCUAUAUUAAUGUUCCUCUAAGCUUACAGAACAUAUUGUAUUUGUUCUUAUAGAGUCAAGUAUAUCCUAUGAAGAGACUUUAACUUCAUGAACUUCUUCAAUCUUUCCUUCAUUGACUACUUUUCCUUUCUCCUCUCGGUACUCAUCCUCUAUUAGAUGGAUGGGUGGUGUGUCUCGGUGAUUGUACUAUUUAUAGAGUAAUUACGAAGCUUAUGGGUCAUCACCUACAUGGUCUAAGGUGGGCCUAGUGGCCCAUUUACCUUAUAAUUUAGUUCUUUGAUCGAAAAUAUGCUAAGUUAAAGAAUAAUACGCCAUUAGAUUAUGACCAGCCGGUUUAUGACAGGUAGAAACAAGUCAGCUUGUGAUUGGAUAAAAACAGGUUGACUUAUGACCAAAUAAAACAAGCCGGUUUGUGAUAGAUAGAAUAGGUCGAUUUGUGAUCGAGUAAAAUAAGUAAGCUUGUGACUAGAUUGAAUAAACAAGAUAGAAUAGGUCGUAUACAACACAAUAUUCAUGCCUUUAAAAAGAAUUAAACUAUUAUGAUACCAAACCUAUAAAUCUUGAAUCUUUGUUUAUGUUAAGUAAGAGAUAAUUACAAAUUAAUUGUGUAUUGAAUUUUAAGCUCAUGAAUAAUAUUCAUAGCUUAAGUGGGUACCUUAAACAAUAAUAUUAAACAGUUUCUUCAUUUUUUAAAUUUUCUUAAUACCCAUAGAAACUUACAUUUUAACUAGAAACUAUAUCAUAUCUUGUUAUCGAUGCCGAUAUAUGGUUGUUAAGAAACUUGAUUAAUACAAAUCUAAUGGAUAAUUUUAUUUUUUUUUUAUAAUAGGGUAAAUAACUGGAAGUUGAAGUUAAGAAAACAGCUGGAGAUGGAGAUGCUCAUGUAUAACUUAGUUAAUUGAGGGCUAAAGUUUCCCUUGUUCACUAACCAUUAGUUUAUGGAGGAUAAGGAUUAAUUAAUGGUUACAUUAAUUAUAGUUAUCCUCGAAUGCCACGAGAUGCUACUUUUAGCAAAGUUUAUAUUUAUAAAAACAUGGAAAAAGUCUGAAAAAUUAAAGUUUCUGGUAAAGCUAUUUAUUAUGGAUAAAGGUGACAUUUGGAAUCACCUUUCAUGUUCACAUUGCAUACAAACACAUACAUAUAUAUCACAGUUUUGUUUCUGAAUUGAACAGAGAACCUUGGUGUUGAAGAAAAAGAGUUGAAUGCAACUAAAGAAUGAAUUAUUUGUACGUAGUAGUAAACAAAAAGAAGAGAGUGUGAUAAAGAGAGAAAAAGAAGGCACGCACAGUUUCUAACCCAAUCUUUUCUCAUAGAUGAGCUCUAAAAAUUUGUGCAUGCAUGCCUGGUGGUCAUUCAUUCAGCAACACCACCAUCAGAAAGCUGUUACAUACAGUCAAUUUUUUGAGAAUUUUUACUUUGGUGUUAGCUUUGACUAAAGUUUCAACUACCUCAUCUCAUAAUACAAUUUCUGUAGUGAUAUCUUUUAAUUAAUUAGCAAUAGAUAUAAAUUAUUAUUAAAAUAAUUAAUUCUAAACUUACAUAAGGAUAUAGAAGGGGACAAGAACGUAAAAUUGUGGAAGUAGACGUAGUUGGAUAUAUACUUAUAUAUAACUCACUAGAUGUGAUAAUAACAUGGGAGGCUCCACUACAUGCUUCUCAACAACAUCAUCAUCACCAUGUUGAGUCCAAGAACAAAUCAUAACUCAAACAUUUGCACAUACUUUUUACUACCACAAAUCAGUGGAACCUGGGGUGGCUAUGAUGUCAUGCAUAUACAUAUUAUUGUCUUUGUUUAAGUCAGACUCGACUCUCGUAAUCAUGUAUUCAAUUAAUUAAUUAUGCUUUAAACACAUAAUUACUUGUAAAGUGAAAAGAGAGAGGUACAUAAUAGACAUUAGAAAAAGAGAGGUUCAAAGAUUAGUAUUGGUGAACGUUGUCAGAGUUAUUAAUUAUACGUAUUAAAAGUUGGUAUAGUGUCGGUGAGAUACUGUUAGAAGUUAGAAAUGGUAUCAAACUUUCUUAAACUUUCUUAAAGUUGAUUAGUGACAAAUAGGAUAAAACAUAACUAAGUUUUACUAUUUUUGCCUCAGAGCUAACAUCGAAUGAUGUGGAACUCACUAGGGCUGACAAAUAAUGAAAAAGCUUUUAAGUUUAACAGGUUUUCUUGUUCAUUUGAUUUUGAUUGUAAAUCUAAUUAAUAUUUAACAGGUUGAAUAUUUCGUUUAAUUAAAAUUCUUUUCCAAUAAAAAAAUCUAAUUAAUAUUUUUUAUUGACGAUAAUAAUAAUUAUGUGAAGAGAAAUUUUAUUUAUUUUUUAAUUUACUUUUUAUUUAUUAUUUUGAAAUUUAGAAUAAAAUUUAGCUGAUAAGAAUGUAUGUUAAAGAAAUAUACGAUCAAGUUUGUUGAAUACAAAAGUUACUAAACAAAACAGGAUUUCGUAACGAAAAACCAUAUUUUAACUCCCAGCUAUCAAACUAAAUUGAAAACUAAUUCUUCUUUGAAUGUUUUUCUAUAACCAUGUUUUUCUAUAAACGAAAAAUAAGUUUUGUAUAAAUUAAAAUUUGCUUGUAAUGUAAUAUAUAAAACUCUCCCCUUUAAAAAGUUUGUUUUUAGCCUGUAAUACGUUAGUUUUAAUUUGUUGAAGAAACUUAAUUUAUUUUCUUUUCUUUGAAUGUUUAUUGAGAAAUUCAACAUAUAUAUCUAACACACAUAGUUACCAUCAAAAUUCGUUAACUAGUUACUCACAUUGAUUUAACUGCUUAUUAAACGAACAUGUACAUCUAGCUAUUUAUUCAAAUAAAAAUAAUAUAUUUUAUGGUUUAAAUACUCCUAAUAUUCUACUUCAAUGAUUUUUUGGGUAAUUAAACCAGAAAAUAUUCUGGACUUUUAUGUCAGUGUUUUCAUUAUACAGUACUAUCUAAUUAUGGAAAGAUUAUGAAAUCAUAAGUUUUACAAAUUAAAAUACACAAUGUUUUAACUAACAAAUUAUUAAGUAACAAAGCAAGGAGUAAAUAAUCCUCCUCGUCUCUAUCCACUUUUUCUUUUUCUUUCUUUUCUUUUUCCUUUUUCCUUUUUCUUUUUGAAAUGGUCACUCAUCAAUUAUGUUUAUCAUGCUUGAAUUGGUGCCUGCAAGAUAAUAAUGCAUCUACUUUAUGUGUGGAGGAUGAAAUAUUCUUUUGUUUUCUUUAUCAUCCUUAUAAAUGUGAAUGUUAAUUUUACCAUUAAGAAUCACCUAUAAAAAAAGGUUUUAAAUCAUCUAAUAAAGAUUUUCAAUGACCAUAGACAGUCCAUAUCCAUUAAUGGAGCAUAUAGACUUUUUUUUUUUUUUGUCAAUGAUUUAUGCAGUAACUAAAUUUGUGAAAACAAUGGUAUACCUAGUUUUUGGUCCAAACUCUACUUCUUUGGCGUAGGAAAGCUAAAGGUUAUUUUUGAAUAAGAUUUUUUCACUUUAUUUUUUAGCAAUGGAGACGGGUACGAUGUUAGAGCUUUGAAUACUACGAUUCACAAAGUAUAGAGGAGUGUAAACAAUGAUUCAAUUGCUAUAAGGGGACAAAGAUAUAUUAGGAAGUGUUUAGUUGGAGGAAAACAUUUCUUUUACUUUUUUCUUUCUAUUUUUCUUUUGUACAUAGAUUGGAAACACCCUAUGGUCCCUUUUAAUAUCUUUAUUUUUUCUGAUAAAAAUAUAAACUCUAAUGAAGUUAAAUAAUUAUAAAUCGCUAAAAAUAUUAAUUAAAUAUUUAAUUAUUAAACCAAUAUGUGAAAAACAACCCUAACUAAAAAGUUAAUUAAGUAUAAAUCACUAAAAAUGUUAAUUGAAUAUUUAAUUAUUAAACCAAUAUGUGAGACACGACUCUAACUAAAAAGCACUAACAAUAAUCUCAAUAUCUCCAAUAAAGUGGUUUUUGCUUUUUUAAUGUUCAUGGUAGCAGUCACAAAAAUUUAAUUUAACUUUUGUAAGUUAUACUGUGUGACUUCAUCUUUAAGAUUUUCUUUGGGAACAUUUACUCAAUACAAGAAUUUUGUAAUACCGACAUCAUUAAUAUUAUAUUUAAUUAUUGACAGAAAUAUAUAUUUUUGAUAUAAGAAAAUAUUUUUUAAAUGAUCUGACUUUUUUUUAUUUUAAUAUAUUCCAAUAAAAAGGUAUUAUAAAUAAAUACUUUUGGCCAUAUAGAUGGUGAAAAGUGGUUAUAAGGGUGGAACCUCAGUACCACGAGAUUUGGCCUGAAAUGUCUACACCUACUAAAUCAAGACAAAAGAAGCUUUUGUGGUCUAUACUUUUCUAGUGCCAGCAUUUUCAAGAUUAUGUUGUGCUAAAAACAAAUCAAAAUCAAGUUUAAAUAAUCCAUUAUUCUUACACCUUUUCUUAAGUGCAACACACUACUAACUACUAUUAUUCCUCUAUGCUUCUAGGAUAGAAACGGAAAAUGAAAAACAAUUAAAAAUAUAAAAUGUUAGGUACAUUUUUUAAUUGUUGUUAGUAUUUUGAUAAUGGGAGCAUUAAACCUAUCAUCUUUUAUCAUAUUUUUUUUCAAAAUUUACAAAAUCAAUUUUAUGACCUUUAAGUACAGUGUAAAAAUUAAAUUUACAGUCUUUUUUAUUUUUCUUCUAAUUUUAUCAUUAAAUCAAUUUUAAAAAUUAAAAAGUAUUAAUUAAAAUAAAAUUUGCAAAUUGUUAUACUAGUGAUAUAUACAACACUUAUGAAGUAAGUGUGGUUCUACUUGUGGUGGUAUUUUAUAUAAAUAGUAUCAGUGAUGCUGAUAUAGUAUAAAUUAUUCAAGUUAUUUCCCUAGCAGAUAAAUAUCGUCUAUGGAUAGAAUACAAUGUGACUCCCUAUAAAUGAUUAAGGCCUUUAAAAAUAAACCUUCAAGUUCUUUUGAAAGAUGCUCUCUUUCUCUCAUUUAUGUAGUAAUCUUUUGUUAAAAUUUUUUUCUUUUAUACACAUAAAUUUUUUACUUUUAAUUAACCUUAUUUCUUAUUUUUUAUUCUUUUUUCUAUUAAAAAUAUAAAAUUUUAUUUUUUAAUAAUUAUUUUAUCCUUAUAAUAUAUAAAAUAAAUUUAAAUAUAUGUCAUCUUAUUAUUAUUCUUUUUCUUAUACUUUUAAAACGAAAACGUUUCAUCAUGCUCUAAUAAGUUAGCAACUCUUUUAAUAAUAAAUUAAUUAAUAAUGUUAAUAACAAAUAAUAAUAAUUCUUAAAGAUAAAUAAUUUUAGAAAAAUUAAUUUUACUUUAUUUCCUUUUAAUCAAAUAAUUUUUUUUAUCUUUUUUUUCUCACUCGUUUUUUUAAUUUAUCUCUUUCUUAUUUGUCAAUAUGAGAUAUUUGGUUAUUACCACAAGUGUAAAAAUACUGUUUAACGUCACCCACAAGACGUCGGUUCGAGGAAAGUCUGACGUAUAUGACUGGACAGUGGCAUUAUCGUAAAUAAGUUUGUAACCUAGACGUCGGUUUCGAAGGAAGACGACGUUUAUGAUAUUGUAAACGUCUGCUCUGCCCUACACUGACGUCUAAUGGCCUGAGAUAGGCGAGAAGACAGUCUACUGACGUCGGUUUUAGUGGGGGACCGACGUCUACGGGGUUGCAAUUAAUGCUCCUCACCUGAUUCCCAGGCGCUUAGACGUCAUGUAGUAAAAAAGCGACGUCUAUGGCCUGUCCGGAAGGCGGGAAGACAAAAAUUUCUGCAAUUUAGAUGUCGGUGUUUAAGGGGAGAGACGUCUAUGUGCCUGUAAUUAAUUAUGUUCACCAAACUCGGACGUCCGGCAGCAGCGUACCGACGUCUAAAUUAUUAUAGACGUCGGCGCCCCUUCACAAUUGUCGUCAACAUCCCUGACAGGAAAUGAAACGUCAAUCAGUUCAGCUUCCUAGACGUCGGCUCCCCUUUAAACCGACGUCUAAUUGGCAUUCAAAAAGUAGUUUAUAUGUUAACUUGGUCGUCGAAUUACAUCGAUAACCGGCGUCUAGGUGACUAUAGAUGUCGGUUUCUGGAGCAACUGACGCCCCAUUUCAUUUUAAAUAAACCGCAGACUCUUCGCAGCAUUGUAGUUUCUGAUAUCGUCUUCCUCUUCUCCUUUUUCUCUUGCGGCACCUCUUUUUUUUCUCUCUUGCGGCAGAGCAUCCCAGGUGCGUGGUUUUUUAUGGUUACCGUUUCACCUUUUUCAGUCUUUCUUUGAUUAUCUUCUGGUUCAACUGAUUAAAAUUUGUUUUCUUUGUGUUGUGUUUUAAUGCAGUUUUGUUCCUUUCUUGGGUAACGUAAUACCACAUUCUCCCUUUGCUAGCUGCCUCCAAGAAAAAGCGACGUCUUUUGGAUUUAUGGUGACAUUUCGACCCAAAAACGAACCUGGGUCGUUGCCUAGUUAUCGUUUCACCGUAAUUUUUCCCUUUUGCGGUUGAAAAUGGAACCAACAACCCAGGUUCGGUUUUGGGUCGAAAUGCCAUUAGAAAUUCAAAAGACGCAAGCUUUUUUUGGGGGAAACUAGCAAAAGGAGAGUGUGCUAUUAGGCUAUCCAAAGACAAGAACAAAACUGCACUAAAACACAACAACUGUGUUAGGCGUCGGUUAAUGCAAAAGCCGACGUCCAUAGUGGCUUUAGACGUCAGUUAGUGACAUGUUCUAAGUCUUUAUGUGCUCUUAAACGUCGGUUAAUGCUUACUUUGACGUCUAUGUAAUGCCCUUAAAAGUCGGGUUAGGCCUACAACGUCGUCUAUAUAGUGCCCUUAAACGUCGGGUUAGGCACUAACUGACGUCAUUAUAGACAUAUCUUGAAUGUAUGUCCAAUAUCCCAUUGACGUCACCGAUAAUGACGUCGGUUGUUUAAUAGACGUUAAAAACCUAAAAUAACCGACGUUAAUCGACGUUUUUCCACUAAUGUACUAUUCAGCAAUUUUCAGGAAUUUCAAAAUUUUAGAUUUUUGGUUAAUUUUUUUUAUAGAUCUGUUUUCCAAAUACACUGAUUCUUAUACUUCAAAAUACAUUACAAAAAUUUAUUAUAUUAAAAUUAGUGUGUUGUGAAAAAAAAAUCAACAUAGACCCUUGAAUAUUGAGAAUUGAGUGUUUUGCGAUAAAAUGAUUAUUUGAAUUUUUUUUCUCUGAUGUCAUAAUUUAAUAUUUCUCCCUUCAUUGAAAACAUAAAAGGAGUGAUAAAUAAUGUGAAAGAAAUAAGUGCAUAUUUGAUUUGUAGUUAAAAGUAUAUAUACGAUCAACAUAAAAGUUACUUUUCAUAUAAAAACUCUGGAAUCCGACUCCAAAUAUUAAUCAACACACUCAAUAAAAGAGAUAAAUGAUUAGGAGGAACGAUAGGGUCAUACAUAUUUAUAUUGAUUUGAAAAAUAUUAUAAAAAUAAUAUAGUUACAAAAGAAUAAAUUUUUAUAUAUUUUUUUUAAAAAAAAUAAAAAAUAAAAUAAAAUAAUAUAAAAUUAAUAUAAAAAAUUUGUGUUAAAAUAUCAUUUCUCAAUCAUUUUAUUUAUAUUCUUCCCCUCCUCACCGAAGUCAUCUUUAUAAGGACCUGAAAAUAAACCAAGGACUGAUGGACCUUAUGUUUAGGUUGUCCAAUUCAUAAAGGUUAAGGGCACAUGACUUAGAAGGGGCUUCUUCAAAAAUCAGAUUCUUCAUUUAGCCAUUUUUCCUUCUCUCUCUAGAAACCCUUUCACAUAGUUGCUCUGCCUUCUCUCUAGAAUCUCAACUCAUUGAACCGUUUAAUUUUUUGUUUGAAGGGGCUUAAGUGUGCACGGCGUCAAGAGCUUCACUUUGAACCGAUCAGUUUCUCAAUAUCAUUCUGGUAAGUGGUCUUUCUUUUUCCCUCCACCAUUUGGAUACCUAGGGUUUGGGGUUCUACUGAUUUCAUGCAGUUAGAGUUGUCCUCAUUCUAAUUUUUGUUAAGUCAUAACUCUAAGAACUAUUUUCUACUGCCAAUAUGGGAUUUAUAGGUGCUGUUGUGUUCUCUCUGGGUGAGACUCCGUUAGGGCAUCUUCAAACUAGCUGUACUUUGAGAAACCUAGGUAAGGGGAGCUAAUUAUUUUGUAUGAAUUUAUUUUAUAAAAAUAUAUGCAGGUUGAACGUUGAACUGAUGUGUUCUUGUGAAGUUGUUCUACAAUUUUAAUUUUUAUUGGAUGUUAUAACUGAGACUGUGAAAUUGUGCUUAAAUAAUUUGUGAUUUGGUGUUGAACUGGUACAUGUGGAAAUUUAUGUUUGUAAGUGUCUUUGUUGAAAUUAAUCUAUUAUAAAUAUAUAUAUAUAUAUAUAUAUAUAUAUAUAUAUAUAUAUAAUAAAGUGUUGUUUUUUAUAUUGAAACGUGAGUGUUAAUCAAUAAUUAUAUUACUUGUAGGUAUGUAUAAAUUGAUGUAUUUUAUGAGUUGUUACGGGUUAGUUGGAGCUACUUGGUUUUUGGUAUUGAUUAACUUAGAUUCAAUUGUGGAGAUGUUACUUUUAUAACUUGUGAUUGGUGAGUAAUGUAUAUUGUUGAGAUUAUGUAUAUGUUGAUUGGGGCAAAAAGUAUAUGAUUACAAAGUGAUGAAAGUACAAUCCAAGUGGUAAACCAAGUUCCAUCUGUGUAGAAUCUCCUUGUGAGAUUCUUAGUGUUUUAGAAUGAAAGUAGAAGCUCAGUCUUGGGGGUCUUCCUGACGCUCCAAUGGCCUUUCUUCUCACAUAUAGAGGAUUGGACCAUGUCGUGAGGAGUAGCAGGAGGUCUUAGUCUCGGAGGCUUCCAGUAACCUCGUACGUGUGGCAGGGUGGAGAAUCCAAGUUUCAUAAGCCACCACGGGUGCAUGACCCGCCAUAGCUGGAGUCUCAUUCUAAAGUCCGGACGAGUCAAGUCUAGAAAUUAACAUGCUAGGAUAUAUGCCUUAUUCUGUUCUAAUUUGAGAUUAACUCUUGUAUAUGCUAUGGUUGACACGACGCAUGCUUUUUAUAUGAUUAGCUCACCCUUGCACUGCUUGUUGAUGAAGGUUGAAAAAAAGUUAUUUUCAUAUGUCAUUUUAGACCAAAUUACGCCUUUACUACUUAGAAUGAGCUUAGAAUCAAACAAAACUCAAUAAAUGAGUCUGUAGAGAGUCAAAAGUUGUUUUUAGCGAUGUUAUGCUUGUUUUGCAUUGUUUUAUAGCAUGUUUGAGAAAGUGAAGAAUGGAGUUGAAGAUAAAGGUCGUGGACUCAAGAAAAGAGAAGAAAAUUGAAGAAUUGAAGAGUCGACGCACCGCCUGGUGGCAAAUUCCACCACCGGGCUGUCCAGGGCGACGAGUAGGCACUUGGCGUUGGCGCUGGGCAGAUUUUCUAUUAGAGGAAAACCGUCGGGCGGUAGUGCGAUUUGUGGAAAACCGCCGGGCGCCACACUUGUUCCGCCGGGCGGUUGUCUGCUGGACUUGGGCCUGUUUUCUGUUGCGCUCCUCACCUAUAAAUAGCCCUAUUGCGCGUUUAGAUGCAUUCUUUUGACAGAAGGGGGCGGCCAGACCUAAUUUCACUCUCUGGAGAGGAUCUCUUGGAUGCUUAGGCUCCUUUUCAUNNNNNNNNNNNNNNNNNNNNNNNNNNNNNNNNNNNNNNNNNNNNNNNNNNNNNNNNNNNNNNNNNNNNNNNNNNNNNNNNNNNNNNNNNNNNNNNNNNNNNNNNNNNNNNNNNNNNNNNNNNNNNNNNNNNNNNNNNNNNNNNNNNNNNNNNNNNNNNNNNNNNNNNNNNNNNNNNNNNNNNNNNNNNNNNNNNNNNNNNNNNNNNNNNNNNNNNNNNNNNNNNNNNNNNNNNNNNNNNNNNNNNNNNNNNNNNNNNNNNNNNNNNNNNNNNNNNNNNNNNNNNNNNNNNNNNNNNNNNNNNNNNNNNNNNNNNNNNNNNNNNNNNNNNNNNNNNNNNNNNNNNNNNNNNNNNNNNNNNNNNNNNNNNNNNNNNNNNNNNNNNNNNNNNNNNNNNNNNNNNNNNNNNNNNNNNNNNNNNNNNNNNNNNNNNNNNNNNNNNNNNNNNNNNNNNNNNNNNNNNNNNNNNNNNNNNNNNNNNNNNNNNNNNNNNNNNNNNNNNNNNNNNNNNNNNNNNNNNNNNNNNNNNNNNNNNNNNNNNNNNNNNNNNNNNNNNNNNNNNNNNNNNNNNNNNNNNNNNNNNNNNNNNNNNNNNNNNNNNNNNNNNNNNNNNNNNNNNNNNNNNNNNNNNNNNNNNNNNNNNNNNNNNNNNNNNNNNNNNNNNNNNNNNNNNNNNNNNNNNNNNNNNNNNNNNNNNNNNNNNNNNNNNNNNNNNNNNNNNNNNNNNNNNNNNNNNNNNNNNNNNNNNNNNNNNNNNNNNNNNNNNNNNNNNNNNNNNNNNNNNNNNNNNNNCGAUACUUGGACUUACCAUUUAUUAUUACUUGAUACGAUUUGGUACGUUUGCCAAUCCGUUAACAAGAUUUUGGCGCCGUUGCCAGGGACUCGAGGUUUACUUUUUCUAGUAGUGUGGAUUGACUGAAUUUGACUUGGUUGUAAUUUUUUUUGUUUUAUUUUUGUUUAAUUACUUUAUUUUAUUUUUCUGUAAAAGUGGUUUUAGGGUUUGUUUCUUGUGUAUGCAGGAAGCAAUAUAUACCAGAAGCAGAAAAGACCAGCAACCUCUCUUAGAAGGUUUACCAGAAGGGAGGAGAAGGAGACGUCCUUCGCGUGAGAGAUCUCUUUCUCCUGAAGCAUUUUCGCAGUCUUCGCUUGAGAUUUCUGCUCCAGAUUUUGAGGAGAUGGCUAACCAACCUCCUCCUAGACAUACAUUGGGGGACGCAGCAAAUGCAGUAGGCCCCUUGAACUUCAACAGUAUAGCGGUUCCAGCUGAUAACUCAACCAGUAUGGUAAUAAGUCCGACGCUCAUCCAAUUAGUCCAAAAUAAUCAAUUCCAUGGGUUUUCGAAUGAAAAUCCUUAUAAGCAUUUGACCAUCUUUGGUGAGAUUUGCAACACUGUCAAAAUAACUGGAGUGUCGGAUGACAGAGUCAGACUCAGUUUGUUUCCUUUCUCUCUUGGAGGAAACGCAAAUGAUUGGUUGAAUUCUUUCCCUGAAGGAACGUUCAGGACUUGGGAGGCUGUGGCACAACAAUUUGUCACUAAAUUCUUUCCAAUUCCAAAAAUUAAUCAAGGGAAGCUGGAGAUCUCUUCAUUCAAACAAGGGAUGGAGGAAACUCUCGGGCAAGCAUGGGACAAAUUUAAAGGUUUAUUGAGGGCGACCCCAGUCCAUGGGCUCGAUAAGACUUCAUACUUACUUGCUUUCCUUGGAGGUUUACGUGCUCAUUCCAAGAUGAUGUUAGAUGUCUCAACUGGAGGUAGUAUUAAUAGAAAAACGGAAGACGAGGCGUAUGACUUGAUUGAAGAGAUGGCCUUGAAUGAAGUAUCACAGAGUGAGAAGGGCAUACAAAAAGGAGGACUCUUGCAUCUUCCUGUUGAAGAUGCUGCAGCUGCUCAAAAUCACCUUCUCAGCCAAAAAUUAGACAAGUUGACGAAGGUCCUCUCCGAACUUCCUAGGGGAAUUAGAAAUAUUUCUCAGAUACAGCAACUUUGUGACUUAUGCGGUGGCGACCAUAUCAAUGGUCAAUGUGCUUUCACUGAGGAGAUGCAAUAGGAUGUUAAUUAUAUGGGAGCCCAAUUUCAAUAUAACCAAGGAAAUUUCAACCAAGGCAAUUCUAGCCAAGGUUGGAAAAAUCACCCAAGUAUUGGGCAGAGUCAGAAUAAUUCAUCUGGACAAGUGGGCAACUUCCGGCAGCAACAACCCUCUCCCUUAUAGUAGCAGGUGAACAGUUUAACUGAGACAGUCAGAGAGUUAAGUGGGAGAUUUGAUAAAUUCUUUCAAAUUUAUGAAUCUCAGUUAAAUAGUAAUCAAGCAAGCUUCAAAUCAUUGUAGUCACAGAUUGGCCAGCUGUCGAAAAGGAUCGAAACCACCGAGAAGCACCAAUUCCAGGCUAGCACUGAUGUUAACCCCAAAGAAGAAUGCAAAGUUGUUAUAGUAAGAGAAAAAAAGAAGGUCGGGGAUGAUCUAGUCAAAGAGGGGAGUAAUGAAAAUGGAGACAAAGAGAUGGUAGGUGCUGAGGCAAGAGAGAAGAGACAGGAAAUAGAAGAGGCUAGUGAGUUCAACGUUAGUGGAGGUAAAGAAGAGAUGCGAGUUGAAAACAGUCAUGAUGGGAGAUUUAGAGAGAUUUUCAAUCAAGUGACUUUGGUACCUGAAGUAAAUCCGCAAAUCCCUCCUUAUGUUGAAAGAAUCAAUUUCACUCGUGAAGAAGAGACUGAACUCACCGAUGAAGAGGAGGACGUUGUUGUUCAACCGCUAAAGAGGGAUCAUCUACUUAAGGAAAAAGAUCCGGAUGUGUAACAUUAUCAUGCGCCCUGAAUGAUUUUGAUGUGGAAGCCAUGAUAGACUCGGGAUCUAGCAUUAAUAUGAUGCCCACAGAUUUCCUGACAAAAAUAAGAAGGAUUGUGUUGAAACCAUCUGAUCUUACUGUGACAAUGGCUGAUGGUUCGGUAAAAAUACCGGUGGGAAUGGCGGAAGAUGUUAUUGUACGAGUGGAACAGCUUGAAUUCUUUGUAGACUUCAUUGUCAUGGAUAUGGAAACUGAUGAUGAGUUUCCUGUGAUUUUGGGAAGGCCCUUCAUUGCAACUUCGAAGAUGCUUAUUAGUGUUUAUGAUGGGCGAAUAAUGAUGAAGGACGUAGAUCACCUGUUUCUUUAUACUGGGUAUAAUGAAAACAAGAUAAAAGUGAUGAAAAGACCCAAACGUAAGGAGCAGGAGAGUGAAGCCGAACAAGAAGAAAGCUCGUCGGAUACUAAUUAUUCUGAUAGUUGUAAUGUUUUGCAGGCACUAAUGAAUAAAAGCAGGAGAAUCAUUCACCUAAAAGCAAGAGAAGAACCACUCCGACAGGGAAGCAAAGCGAAAUAUAAAAGGAAGGAGUGGAUAAUAAAGGAGCUGAAAGAAAAAAGGGAGGUGGAAAUUGAAGCACCAUACAGCAGACAGGUCAAGAGGGUGGGCAGAAGAAAAUUGAGCCGGUGGGACGACGAAGAUCCCAAAGUGAAGAAAAAGAGUUGAAUUGUUGGAAAUCAUUUUUUGUAUUUUUAAGAACAAUUUUCAUUUUCAGUUAUUUUAACUUUUUACUUUCAUUGGAACAUGUAAUUUUUGAAUUUUUGGAACAAUUUUUGGGUAGCACCUACUGAGGGAUGCUAAAAAUUUUUAAAUCCACUGAAGGAUUCCAGGUAGGCACACCUACUGAUGGGUGUUGGAAGGAAUUGCACUUACUGACAAGUGCUAAACAGGUUUGGGUCAGGCUCGUGACGUUAAACAAGCGCUACUAGGAGGCAACCUAGUUUUCUCUCUUUUACUUUUGCAUUUUAAAUUCCUAGAAUAGGUUGAAUUCUAAUUUCAGAGUGUAUGCUUGGCUUAAAUACUUUUCUGAAGAUGUUUGACUGACUGAUGUGCAUGAUGAGACUAUUUGAUGUGAUUGAUAAUUGAGUUGCAUUGCAUGUUAAUAUUCUAUGAAACAGAUGUGUGAUGAAUUAUGAUUGUGAUUAUGAUGCUAAGCAGGAUGUAUGAAUGAAUAUGGUGUAAGAAAGCAUGUUGUGUGAGGUAUUGAGCUCAAGAGUUUUUAUUGUUGUAUGCAUUGUUCACAGGGAAACAUGAAUGAUAUUGCCUUAAUCUUGAUGAUUGAUUGAAUUGCAUGCGAGUGUCAUAUGAUCAAGGCCAUUUUUGAGAACCCUUCUCUAGCCAAAUUUUCACCCAAAAUGCUUGAAAAUAUUAUACCCUUUUUUAACCUUAGCCUUAAACAGGAUGUGAACCCUUGUUUUGAAAUUCUUUACCUUGAGUUGGGAUGAGCUUAAUUGUAUGCGAUGAAAAGGUUCAAGUUUGGGGUUGUUUGGGGAAAAUUAGAAAGGCAAGUGAAAAGCAUUGAGCUCAAAUGUUGUGAAAAGAAAAAUUCAUGAGAAAAAGAAAAGAAAAGAAGAAAAGCAUGAAGAUGAGGUCAAUGAAAAAGAAAAGGUAAGAAGUUGGGAAUAAGUGGGAUUGGUGAAGAAGAGAGUUGUGCUUACAUUUUGAAUAUCAUGAUAGCUCUCUUAACUCAAGGACUUUGUAUUCCAGAAAAACCAAUUCUUCUUGUUAGCCUAACCUCAUUACAAGCCUUGGAAAAGUCCUUUUGAUGGCAUUUGCAUGUAAAGAUGUUUAUUGUUUGAGAUGAAUGGCAAUUUUGUUUCAUGUGACUUGUGAAUAAUAGAGAGUUAGAGUGUCACCUUAAACACUUGAGUGAUUGAGUGAAACACUUGCUUGAUAUGAACGGUUAAUUUUCAUGAGUGCAUUUUUGCUUAGUUGAUUGGUCAUUCAUAAUGUGUAACAUCUGUUGUGCAAUCUUUGGAUUAAAAGCAUGCAUGCAUCUUAAUUUGAUUUCACUGAAGAUUUGAGAUUGAGUAGUGUUUGUCAUGUACUUUAGGAGUGUUGAAUUAUUGGAGGAAAUAGUAGAAAGCCAAGCUUUGUUUUGUAUUUUGUUUUGUUUUAUUUGCUUGAGGACAAGCAAAGUUCUAAGUUUGGGGUGUUGAUGAAGGUUGAAAAACAGUUAUUUUCAUAUGUCAUUUUAGACCAAAUUACGCCCUUUACUACUUAGACUGAGCUUAGAAUCAAACAAAACUCAAUAAAUGAGUCUGUAGAGAGUCAAAAGCUGUUUUUAGCGAUAUUAUGCUUGUUUUGCAUUGUUUUGUAGCAUGUUUGAGAAAGUGAAGAAUGAAGUUGAAGAUAAAGGUCGUGGACUCAAGAAAAGAGAAGAAAAUUGAAGAAUUGAAGAGUCGACGCACCGCCCGGCGGCAAAUUCCACCACCGGGCGGUCCAGGGCGAGGAGUAGGCACUUGGCGUUGGCGUUGGGAGGAUUUGCGAUUAGAGGCAAACCGUCGGGCGGUAGUGCGAUUUGUGGGAAACCGCCGGGCGCCACACUUGUUCCGCCGGGCGGUUGUUUGCUGGGCUUGGGCCUGUUUUCUAUUGCGCUCCUCACCUAUAAAUAGCCCUAUUGCGAGUUUAGAUGCAUUCUUUUGACAUAAGGGGGCGGCCAGACCUAAUUUCACUCUCUGGAGAGGAUCUCUUGGAUGCUUAGGCUGCUUUUCAUCUUUUCUAGGGUUUUCUUUUCCAUUCUUCAUCCAUUUUUCAUCUAGUUUCACCAUGACAAUGGCGAACUAAACCCUAUUGUUGUUGGGGGAAACAAUGUAAUCUUUUGAUACUCUCUUUUAUUGAAACUCUUGUUUAUUUAUAUGGUUUCCAUAUGCUUUGAUUGUUAAUUGUUGGGUUCUCAUCUGUGCUUNNNNNNNNNNNNNNNNNNNNNNNNNNNNNNNNNNNNNNNNNNNNNNNNNNNNNNNNNNNNNNNNNNNNNNNNNNNNNNNNNNNNNNNNNNNNNNNNNNNNNNNNNNNNNNNNNNNNNNNNNNNNNNNNNNNNNNNNNNNNNNNNNNNNNNNNNNNNNNNNNNNNNNNNNNNNNNNNNNNNNNNNNNNNNNNNNNNNNNNNNNNNNNNNNNNNNNNNNNNNNNNNNNNNNNNNNNNNNNNNNNNNNNNNNNNNNNNNNNNNNNNNNGGUUAAGGGUAGGCUAAGAAAGUUGCAUGACAAUUAAUUAAUCAAGCUAAUAAUUCAAGAGUAGUAAAUAAGAGAAAGCGGAUAAGAUGAAUUUGUAAACCCCCAACAACUCCAUUCAUCCAUUGUUUUCUUCUUGUCAAUUGAAUCAAUCACUUUUGGAUGUUCAUAUUUUAUUCUCAAACUCAAUUAAUUAAUUUUUCUUUUCAAGUCUUACAAUUUUAAUUCACGCGAACGAUAAGGCCUUUCGAGUCUCUUGGGAAAACGAUACUUGGACUUACAAUUUAUUAUUACUUGAUACGAUUUGGUACGCUUGCCAAUCCGUUAACACUUGUGUUUGUACCAUGUUUGCGUAUGUCUUUCUUUUGCAAUGAUCAUCCACUUGGAUGUGAGCAGAGGAGAAUGAGGUUUCACUGGAGCAUGUCUUGGAAGAAAAUGAAGAUGUUGCUACCUAGAUUCUCUAGAAUUCUCUUAGUUCUUUUACCCUCUUUUUAAAUACUUUCCACUUAAGUUAUUUUGAGAUACUCUCUAGCACCUUAAGUUUUAAAUUUUCAGCUAUUUCAAGGAUGAUUGUACUCCUAAUGUUUCAAGUACAUCUCUAACUGCUUUCUUUUAUUAUAAUGGAUGACGUCUAGAUUAUAUAUGCAUGUCGUAUAUUAUUGGGUUUUCACAUUUAUGGUACCAGAGCAAUUUGUUCCUAGGAUAACCUACGGGUUGCGGGUUUGUCGUGACUUUCCUGUGGAAAGUUGAGUCUGAAUGGUAUGUUGUACCAUUUCCUCCAAGUCUAGAUCGUGAAACUGUGUAUCUGACUAGAAGCUUUGAGAACAAAAAAUGUCUCUAUAGAAGGAAUGAGGGUGCAUACUCAUGACUUCUACUAGAGAUAAUUUUCCUUUCUUAAUUCUGAAGGUUUGGGGAAAUGAAGGGUAGUGAUUCAAGUGUUACUGUCGAUAGGAAUUCUUGUCUUGUUCUUGCCUUUGUAGUAGUGUGUUGUGCUUUAUAGUAGUAGAGGAAUGUAGAUUCAAGGACAACUUGAUCUGUAUACCUUCUUUAGAAUUGGUCUUUGAGAAAAAUUCUUGCCUCGAAGAUAAGGAGUUAGAAUACCAGAGUUUAGGCUUCAAGGGACGUGUAGAGAUAUUGGAAUUUAUAAGCAAUGUUUUGGAUGAAGGAGUUGUCAAGGAAAAAUUUUGGAGAUCAGAUAUCGUAUGAUUCACAAGAAGAGUUGAGUUCAAAGACCAGAAUAAGAGGAGCUUUGGAUGGGCAUUGGUGUGGCAAUGUUUGGUUCUAUGCAUCACUAAUGUCAGAGGUCAAAAGAAAAGGAAGUGUUGGUGAGCAACAGAGUGGCUUUGGGUGAGAUGGGUAACAUGGAUUGGUAUAUCAGCGAUGAUUGAAAUCUGAAUAAGAGAAGUGGUGGAUGGUUUGAAGUUUAAGUUAAGAGAGGAAUAAGAAUUCUGAAGUGGAAUAAAGGGAAUCAAUGUUUAGAAAGGAAUUAGAAGAAGAAGAGUUUGAGAAGCAAUUGUGUAAAGAUAUAGAGCAUAUUUAAGGAUUGUGUAAUAAAAGGUGAAAUUUCUAAGGUGGAGAAACAUGAAGUCUGUAAGGAGAAUUUAAGUAUUAUAGGGCUGUGAAUUGAAUAAUAAUUAGAUGGAGUGGUUAAGCACUAAUCGCAAGUGGAUAUUAUAUAGCCAAGUUUAAAAGGAUGUUUCAAGAUUAAUAAGUUGCAUAGAAUGAAUGUUUAAUCUCGGGUUUAGGUGAAAGACUUCAAUCACCGAAGGAAGAGGCACAUCGAAAAGGUUUGGUCAUUGGCUAAGAGGAAAGAUUUCUAGUAUUGAAGGAAGGAGCAUAUCAGGGUGUCAGUUUGGUAAGAAAAGGUGAGGAAUAGAGAAUUAAGUGCACGAUGGAUGAGGAACAAAGAAGAAAGGCCAUUGGACAAAUGACAAAGGAUGGUUACAGUAUGAGUUGUUGGAUAGGGUAUCGGGAAUGAUCAGAUAAUCCGGGUUGAUUGAGACUAUAAGAGUUUCGAAGCGGCAUGUUGUGGUACAGUCAUUUUUUCUUCGGGUGUGAUUUUAUGGUGAUGUUCAGGGAUCGACUGAGUUUGAUAAAGAGAGAAGUGGAUAUUGGUAGUUGAGUUAUAGAAGGCAGUAAGUGGGUAAGUUUAGAUAAGGUUAGAGGAUUGGUGUUGCUGGUUAAGGGUAUCUUGAGGUUUAGGGGAUCAAAGAUAGAGUUAUUAUUUCUAAAGAUUCUAAGUUGAAGAGGACAAUUCUUGAAGAACAAGGGUUUAAGUUGGUCUGGCCAGGAUAAGGAUUUAAGAAUUCUAAGUGAUGUAGAAAUUAUGGAGUUAAUCUAAGGGCUCGGGUUUGAAGCUUCUAUGGAGUGGUUUCUUGGCAGGGAAGGAAAGCGAAGGUGGUACAUCAAGUACAGUUGAGUGAAAGAGAGAAGUAAGCGUUAUGGGAAUUCAAGAUGUUUGUUAAGUGCGAGUGAAGAAGAUAUGAUGUUAUUCUUCGUAAGUUUGAGGUGUGAUUCAAGAGAGGUUGUUGUUUCAAAAUAGUUCUCUAGCGCUUUAUGGUCUUCAAGAGAAGCUUCGUGUUUCAAGAAGAAAAGUCAGUGGUUAUACUUCAAUUGUGGAUCAAGUUGAAAUGUGAAGACAAAGGGUUGUGGAAGUCAGAAUAGUUUAGCAAGGUUAAGCAAAGAAGAAAAGAUGGAUCUUUUUAGCAUAAGGGUUUUGGUUUGUGUUCUGCAACAAGUAUGGGAAUUUUACCUUGGAGAAGUGGUUCUCGUUUUGGAAUGAUGUCUAAGAAGAACCGGUGUUGGUAAUGUCUUUAUGGAUGGUUCCUGUUGAAGUUGUGUAAUACAAGAAGAAGGUGGAAGUUGGGUUAGGGCAACAAUGUUUGGACUUAGUGUGAUCAUAGGGAGAAGCACAAGGUUGAAGAAUCUCAUAAGAGAAUUAGAGGACAAGUUGGGACAGUCUAGUAUAAGUCUUGGCAAUCAGAAGUGAUUUCGAGCAUGGUCGUUUUGUGAGUAGAAAAGCAGUGUUCAGGAAAACGGGAUGACAAGGUUGUCAUGGAAGAAAAGAGUUACCGGGAUUUUGCAAAGUCAUGGAAGUUUUAGAGAAGUUCUUCAAGGGUGAUCAUCUUCGGGUUACAAUUGUCAUGAAGGAAGUGUUCUUUUAGUAAACUAGUGAGUAAAGGAGUUUAAGGAUCAAAGUAGCGCAGCGGAUGAUGGUGAGCAUGUUAUUAUCAGAAAUAGGUACUCAUGGAGAGCUUUUAUAAUUGUGGAUUAGUGGUCUGUGAGGGACGAGUUCUUUGAAUCAUAUUGGUAUUGUUAUACGAAAAUGAGUUGGGGGAGUGUUUGGUAAUCUUCAAGAGUCAAGUAAGUUCAGGUACGGAAGAAAUAGGUAUCAAAUAGAGAAGAUAAGUGCGGUUUCACGUUAUAGGGUCAACUUUAAGGUGAGGAAGUAUUAAUGAAUUUGGAACAGGAAGAGUGGGUUAAGGGAUGAAGAAGAUGAAUUGAGCUAUGGUUUCGAAUUGUAGUGUCGACCUGGAAGUAGGAGAGUAAAUGGACGUGGAGCAGGAGAAGAGGGUCAGUGGAUGAAGGAAAUGAACUAGGAUAAGUUUUAAGUUGUAAGGUCAAUUUUGAGGUGAGUAAGCGUUAGUCGAGAGUGAAAGCUAAAAGAAGAUGUAAGUUUUUAGCUUAGUAAGAAUUUAUUAAGAGAUGGUCGAAGAAUCUGAAGAAUGAGGUCUGAAGUGAAGAGGUAAAAAGAUUCCUUUAGUAUAGUUGAAAUACUAUAACUAUUGGGUUUCUCAAAAUGGUUGAGAAAGCACAAUUUGGACAGUCCUAGCUUGAGGUGUAUCAUAAGUUGACAUGGUAUUGAUUAAGCUAGUGAUCUCAAGUUGAGGAAGAUACAUAUCUAAUAUGAUUACAAGCUAGUGGGUUAAGGAAUGCAUAUAGUUCAUGUUAGUAAAAUAACAAAGUAAAGUUGGACUGCUCAAAUUAGUUUGAUAUUGCAAAGGAGAAGAGUUUUACUUUAGCAAUGAGAUAGUAUAGUUGGAAACUAUGUUACUCAGUAGUAAAGAUUGGUAAAGCAAUGUGAAGCUCUCAGGAUGGAUGUGAUUAAAGGUGAUCAAGAAUGUAACAGUUGGUGGUUAACUCAGAAAUUGAAGUGAUCAAGUUAGAGGUAUGGUGGUUCUUGAAAGGAACAAGAGGAGGUAAAUGAGUAUCGGUCAAGGGUUAAUUUGAAGUCAAGAUUAGUGGAAGUCUUAGAAGAAAUUUAUAAGAAGUGGCGGAAGGUGGAUGAGUGAUUAUCAGUGUGGCAAACACAAUGGGGUUGGUUGUGUGAAAAAAAGUUUCUUACUAACUAAAGUUUAGGAGUUCAUAUUUGUCUUGAGAGUAAUGACUAAACCAAUCUACACUAUUGAACACUAGAGCAUUUUAACACAGAAGUAAAAUCGUUGGGGAGUAGUAUCGUAGUCAAAAUAGGUGAUUGUACUAGAGGAUGUGAUGAGAGUACAUUGUUCCUUCUCUUCAGUAAGUUGAAUUUUCGAGGACAUAAAUGUUUAUUGUUGGGGAGAAUAUAAGGACCUGAAAAUAAGCCAAGGGCUGAUGGGCCUUAUGUUUAGGUAGUCCAACCCAUAAAGGUUAAAGGCACAUGACUUAGAAGGGUCUUCUCUAAAAAUCAGAUUCUUCAUUUAGCCAUUCUUCCUUCUUUCUCUAGAAACCCUUUCACAUAGUUGCUCUACCUUCUCUCUAGAAUCCCAGCUCAUUGAACCGUUUAAUUUUUGGUUUGAAGGGGCUUAAGCGUGCACGGCGUCAAGAGCUUCACUUUGAACCGAUCAGUUUCUCAAUAUCAUUCCGGUAAGUGGUCUUUUUGUUUCCCUCCGCCAUUUUGAUACUUAGGGUUUGGGGUUCUACUGAUUUCAUGCAGUUAGAGUUGUCCUCAUUCUAAUUUCUGUUAAGUCAUAACUCUAAGAACUAUUUUCUACAGCCAAUAUGGGGUUUAUAGGUGUUGUUGUGUUCUGUCUGGGUGAGACUCCGUUAGGGCGUCUUCAAACUAGUUGUACUUUGAGAAACCCAGGUAAGGGAAGCUAACUAUUUUGUAUGAAUUUAUUUUAUAAAAAUAUAUGCAAGUUGAAUGUUGAACUGAUGUGUUCUUGUGAAGUUGUUCAACGAUUUUAAUUUUUAUUGGAUGUUAUAACUGAGACUGUGAAAUUGUGCUUAAAUAAUUUGUGAUUUGGUGUUGAACUGGUACAUGUGGAAAUUUAUGUUUGUAAGUGUCUAUGUUGAAAUUAAUCUGUUUUGGUUGCAUAGGUGUAUAUAGGUAUUAAAUAGGUGUAUAAGUAUUGUUUAAGGUUGUUGUGAGAGGAAGUGAAAUAUUAAAAUUAGGCAUUUCAGAUUUAGAGCAUAAGAGAACAAGGUAGAUAAUUUAAAUAAAUUAAUUGUUAAUUGUUGAGAGCCUUUCUUUGUUGAUAGGAUAGAGGAACCUUAAAAACCUGAGUUGGCACAUCCCUGAUCAUAGAGCAGUUCUGGCCUGGUCCAGUCAGUUGUGACUAGUCAUAUGUGUUGGUGUCGAAGGUGAGUUUGAUGCGUUCAGACAUUUGGGUCCUCUCCAAUGACCAAUUGGGAGAAAGUAAAAUCUCUACUAUGAUGAAAAUAAAAUAAAACAAGUUUAUUGUAGAUGCAUAAAGUUAUCAUACAUUAAUUUUUGGUCAGUUAUAAUUUUAAGAAGUUAGUCACUAUGUGUUUAGAAUUUAAAAUAAGGGUUCAAAUAUAUAUUAGUUUAAUAUAAUAUAAAUAUGUAUAUUUAAAGGAUACAAGUAUCAGAUAUAUAUUAGUUUAAUAAUAUAUAUAUAUAUAUAUAUAUAUAUAUAUAUAUAUAUAUAUAUAUAUUUGUUUCUUAUAUUGAAACGUGAGUGUUAAUCAAUAAUUAUAUUACUUGUAGGUAUGUAUAAAUUGAUGUAUUUUAUGAGCUGUUACAGGUUAGUUGGAGCUGUUUGGUUUUUGGUAUUGAUUAACUUAGAUUCAAUUAUGGAGAUGUUAUUUUUAUAACUUGUGAUUGAUGAGUAAUGUAUAUUGUUGAGAUUAUGUAUAUGUUGAUUGGGGCAAAAAUUAUAUGAUUACAAAGUGAUGAAAGUACGAUCCAAGUGGUAAAUCAAGUUCCAUAUGUGUAGAAUCUCUUGGUGAGAUUCUUAGUAUUUUAGAAUGAAAGUAGGAGCUCAGUCUUGGGGGUCUUCCGGACGCUCCAAUGGCCUUUCUUCUCACAUAUAGAGGAUUGGACCAUGUUGUGAGGAGUAGCAGGAGGUCUUAGUCUCGGAGGCUUCCAGUAUGCUCCAAGAAGCGGACCAGACUAACCUCGUGAGUGUGGCAGGGUGGAGAACCCAAGUUUCAUAAGCCACCACGCGUGCAUGACCUGCCACAGCUCGACUCUCAUUCUAAAGUCCGGACGAGUCAAGUCUAGAAAUUAACAUGUUGGGAUAUAUGCCUUAAUCCGUUCUGAUUUGAGAUUAACUCUUGUAUAUGUUAUGUUUGACACGAUGCAUGCUUUUUAUAUAAUUAGUUCACCUUUGCACGACUUGUGUUUGUACCAUGUUUGCGUAUGUCUUUCUUUUGCAAUGAUCAUCCACUUGGAUGUGAGCAAAGGAGAAUGAGGUUUCAUUGGAGCAUGUCUUGGAAAGAAAUGAAGACGUUGUUGCCUAGAUUCUCUAGAACUCUCUUAGUUCUUUUACCCUCUUUUGAAAUACUUUCCACUUAAGUUAUUUUGAGAUACUCUCUAGCACUUUAAGUAUUAAAUUUUUAGCUAUUUCAAGGAUGACUGUACUCCUAAUAUUUCAAGUACAUCUCUAACUGCUUUUUUUUGCUAUAAUGGAUUACCUCUGAAUUAUAUACGUAUGUAGUAUAUUAUUGGGAUGUCACAGUCUUCACACAAAAUUCAAGUCUAUAUCAGUUUUAUUCCUAUUCUUCCCUCUGCGAAGCCAUCUUCGUAUAAAAUUUAAGUCUAUAACAGCCAAAUAAACUUGUUUUUUUUAUUAUUAUUAUUAUUUUGAAAUUUGCUUGGUUGGUAAUAACUUAAAAAAAAAAUAUUAACUUAACUUUAGAAAAAUAAUUUAGAAGAUAAUAUUUAUAUUAAUAAAAGUGUUAAUGCAGAUGGGAUGAGAAUAAAGUUGAUAGAAAGUGGUUAUGUUUAAUUUUAACCGAAAGAAGAAGAGAUGCAUGUGCAGCAGAUGAAGACGUACUGCAUAUGGUGGCCAAGAAAUUUGAUCUCUUCAUCAUAGCCAAAAGAAAAGGCUAAGAAAGGUUAAAAAACAACCAAUCCUUCCAAAGAGUAUCCCUUUUGUUUCCACUAAUCGAUCAUUAGUUAGGGAACUAAAUUCAUCACUCUAUGGUAUGCAAAUGCAGCCAUGUUAUGUGGUCCAACGCAUCAUCACAAAACAAAGUUUUCUUUCUCAUCGGCUUUUCUACUCUAAACUGGAGGAGGAGGAGGUAAGUUGCAUACAAACACAUUCAUCUGCAUGCCAACUUUAUUUCAUCUGAAUUAAUUCAUCCAACUUACCCCAAGGUUUUUGUCUCCAUGCAUUCAUCGUCAUAAAUUUCAUAAUGAAAAUGCUGAGAAAAUACAGAAUAUACAUAAUAUAAGUGGAGAACAUUUUCUGAUACUCAUAUAUUUAUGGUUCUUUCUAAGGUAAAUGGGGGACCUUCCAUUUAUGUAAUGAAUUAAAUUUUAUGAUACGGAUAUUUAUUGUGCUUAUCUUCUGAUGAGAGUACGUUCUCCUUAUGCCCUACGCAUGGGAAUAAUUUUCUGCCCCAAAGCAUACUGGGGACCUUGCACUCAUGGCUUGCUUCGUCAAAUUUAAGGUACACUCACUAAAGAAAUUACAACAUUUUUAUUUAUUUAAAUACGUAUAAAAGUAUAUCUUUUUAAUAAAAUUUCAUAUAUUCAAUAAGUAAGUGCGUCUUAAUAGUAUAAUUAAGAAAAGUAUAUCAUGAAACUAAAAAUAAGUGAUAUUGGUACGUAUAGGACUCACCUAAUUUCUUCAAUCUUACCUACUUCACUCCCACAUCAUCAAUAGGUGUCCAUCUCUGGGGUCAAUGCAAUGUCUGCUUUUCUCUCACUUUUUUUUUUUUUUUUUUGGAAUGCAGGUAUCUUCUUUUUUUCUUUUCUCUAUGGCAUUCUACUCUCUCUUGGAGUAUCAAGUUUCUUUAGUGUCAAAAUUCUUACAAGUUAUAUUUUCUUUUAGUUUUUAGUAUCAUACAUGGUUUAUUCAAAAAAAUCUCACAUUGAAGUAGGAAGUUGGUUUAUAACUCAAUAUAUUCUUAUUUAUAUUCUUAUAUAUGAUGUGCUUCUGCUAAAAUGUAUUAAUUCUUAUUGUGUAAUUUUCAACAGUUAUCGUAGCUUUUAAAAAUAGAUAAUAUGACAUUUAUUUUUCUAUGAUUUCAGCAAUUGAGUAAGAUUACAAGAUGUGUAAAUUGAUGUUAGUCUCAAGAAUUCCAAUUUAUCCUAGAUAAUUUUCAUGGUAGUUAAAAAAAAUGGAGAGAGAUCUUUCGACUUUAUAUGAAAAAAUAUUUGACAUUUUAAAUUGGUUGUUUUUUUUGUAAAUCUUUCUUCAAAAUUCAAUCAAAACUCUCUCUUAGAUUAUUAUUAUUAUAAUUGCAAAUUAUAUUUUCUAUGAAUAUGGGGAGAAUGAGUGUGUAGAUGAUUUAAGAACAACAUAUAAAAAAUCAUAUAAGCAUCGUUUUAUGUAGUUCCAAGGAUGUUUGUUAAUAAACCUGAUUUUAUUCUUGAAAGAUAAAUCAUGUUUUAUAGUUUUAUUUUAGUUGUGAUAACUCUAAGAGCCGAAGAAAAGAAAACAACCCUUAAAUAUUUUCCCAGGAUUAAAGAUAACGAGAAAGAUAAAAGAAACUGAAUGAGGUUGUGAAAGCCUCAACCAUGAAUGAAAGGUUAGAAGAAGAAAGAUAGAGAAAAAUUAAUCUAAUAUUUGCUUAAAAAUUAAAAUAUUUGUUGUAUAUUAUUCUUCAAUCAAUCAAUCAUUUAAGCAUAAACAAGAAUUUAUAUAUAUAGUAAAAGAAACUUAUCAAACUAAAUUUAUAUAACGAAAUAACUAAUUCUAUUUGCUCAUGAAAGAGGAACUACAUUGCUGAAAAAAAAAAGAAAAAAACAACAACAACAACACUUCUAAGAUUAAUUCCUGAAAACUUCUGUAUUUUGAAUAGAUUCAUAUUAACAGCAUCCAAAAUGGUUAAAAUAUGUAUUGAAUAUUUUUUUAAAAAAUCAUCAGUUGUCUUUAAUUAUUUUCGCAGAUGAUUGAUAUCAUAAUAAAUUAUAAGUGAGAUUAAGGUUAUUAUGAUUAAAAUCCUUAAUAUAAUAAUAAUAAUAGUUUUACUAUAAUUAUUUUGCUGAUUUUUGUCCAUUGAUGACAAUUUGGAAUCUCAGAAUUAACCGUGUCGAACGGAAUGUUUCAGUUAUCCAUCCACAUUCAAUUGAACGUGCAAUGGAAUAACGUUUGCAUUAUGUCAUCUAUCUCUGUAGCCCCCACAGAGUUUAAGAAACUUCACCAAAAAUAAUUAAGGUUAUCCAAAUAUUCUUAAAACACCAAUCACAAAAUCCUAUUGUGCACAGUAAAGUUGGCUAUGUAAUUUAAGUGACUUAAAAAUAAAAUCACUUUUAAAGAUCAAAUCUCACCACAAAAUUCUUAGAAUAAAUAAAUAAAGGUAAUAUUUUAUGAAAAAGGAAUUAUUCUCCACGUUCCCGUUAAAGCUAGUAGGAUGGGCUGGGCCGUUAGGCGCUCCUAGUUUUAUGGGCCCAUUAAAAAUAAUAAAAGACAGUUUUCAGAGCCUAUAAAUCGUAAAGAAAACCGCAUUGUUCAUGCAGAAGCAAGCAUCGACGACACCUUGAUCAGGUGUGAAUGUGAUAGCAUUGAUCUGGACAAUUUUGUUCCUUCUUCAUUCAAGUGUUGGCUUGAAAUUACAGCAACGAUAAUGAAGAAGAAGAGGGAAGAAAUGAGUACACUCUUUCUCUUCAACUUACUUUUAACGCUCACUGUAAGCAUAAAUGUAUAAUACUUCUCCUUCAUUCUCACUGCUUCAUCCAAUCAUCAUCUUCAUCUUUAGCUCUAACAUAGCAAAUGCAGGUUGCUUACGGUGGGGGGAACUCACAAGAUCAAAACCCCUUCACGCCAAAGGCUUACGUCUCACGUUAUUGGGACAGACACGUCCGCAACACCUUCCCAAAACCAUCAUUCCUUCUUUCCAAAGCCUCUCCACUCACCGCCGCCGACACUGCCUCCUUCACUAACCUCGCCGCCACCAACACUCUCUCCACUCGCUUGCCAGAGUUCUGCUCCGCUGCGCACCUACUCUGCUUCCCGGAGGUCCGUCCAAGCCUCGAGAAACACACCGAAGACGAAAAUUUUCAAACCUACGACGAUGGCCAGAAUUUCACUAACUACGGAACGAAUAGAGCAGGUGGAAUCGACACGUUCAAAAACUACUCCAACGAUCUCUUCAGCACUCCGGUCAACGAUUUCCGCCGAUACAGCCGCGGAGCCGCUGGUCACCAAGAAACCUUCACCGGCUACGCCAGCGACACCAACGUCGCUGAUCAGAGCUUCAACACAUACGGCACCAACACGGCCGGAGGCUCCGGCGAAUUCAAAAACUACUCUAGCAAUUCAAACGUCCCCAACCUGCGAUUCACCACCUACUCCGACUUCACCGCUGGGAGGACACAGUCGUUCUCUAGAUACAGCGAAGACGGAAACUCAGGCGGGCAGACAUUCCAGAGCUAUGGCAAGAAUUCCGCUGGCGCUGAGAACGAUUUUAC